CAAACGGAACAGAAGGGAAGUGUUGAUCCAAUAGCCAAGGCUAGGGAGGUACUUCAAGAAGCUGUCAUUAGCAAAGAUGAUGGAAAGGCUCAGGGCGAUAAUAAUGACGAGAAGGAAGGAGCAAAAGACCCUGAUGACAUUUUGGUUUUUGCUAGAGCUGUUCACCACACUGAUUCCUCGCUUGAUUGAUAUAUAGCUACAUGACGAGAAGUAUCUAUGAAGUGUAAAUGAGACGAAGAGGGUUUUAGAGGUGACUGGCCAGUCUAAGUUACUGUACAAUUUUCAGUUUGUUUCAAUAUGAGAGUUGGAAAUCACAAGUUUAAAUUGUUCUUACUCAUUCUUGAUUCUUAAUUCUUUACGGAAAGGAGAGUAGCAAAAGCAUGACAGGAUUGAUUAUGCACAACAUAAUUUUGGAUGGGAAGGAUAUUGCAGAUAUUAAAUAUUCUACUCAAGAUUUGUGAGUUGCAACCAUAUAUCACCUCAGAGAUCUAAGCCAAGAAAAGAUUGUUCCAUAUGAAAAAUCGCAAAAAAAGUCUUAAUUUCUCCAAAUUUUCAAAGGCGAGGUUCUUUUACUUGCCUGGUACAUCUUCUUAGUUAUUGGAGAGAUCAUUAGAGUAUAUCACUUAGGUCCUUUGCAAGUAGGAUGAAGUAACUAAAUCCAUUUUUGUCAUGCUUUGUGCUCAUGGCAUGUAUCUUAAUAUGAGAAGAAGAUAAAGAGAAUUUAUAAUGAAAUGACAAAAAGGACAAUAGUGCAUGUUUCCAACCAUGAAUUUUUAAUUCAGAUGCUUUCUAUCGGUCACAUUGAAUACUUAAGCUAUGCAUACAGCCAUACGGGUCCACACAUUGGAUGUCUUUUACUACUCUCAUCUCCAUACCAAUUUACAUUUUUAUAUACGAAAUGGGAUUGCUAAGUUAGUGAAGUUACGGCUACUAUCCUGGUCACUACACUCAGCAAUGUCCUUUAAACUAGUCCAAGAUUUUCUCUUCCGCUUGCUUGAUGGUAUGGAAGCUUUCUUUGCAUCAACAGGAACAGAACUGCUUUCUGAUUCAACAAUUUUCUUGGAUCCUGAUCUAGUCCUUUUCCUCUUUCUUGUAUCCAACAAAGUCUCAACUUUAGCCGAGGGAGUUGUAGAACUGUCAUUCGCAGGAUCCUUGUUAAUUAUUUUUUGUGAAGCAAUUCCAUCCACCUUGGACAUGGGAUCAUUUUUGCUUGCUGUAAUGACCUUUGCUUUGGCAAACUUUGGAUGACUUGAUUUGGUAGGAUCUGAUUUUGAAGAGACUUUGGGCUUCGAUGGACACAACUCUUUCAUGUAGCCUUUCGGGGUUCCUCUCUUCAAGUUUCUAUGCGAACAAAAGUGGCAGCUGUAAACCACACUGUUUUCAAUCGAAAGACUACGUUUCUUGCGCCUUCGCUUUGGAUUUGGUUUUAUCUUCUCAAUCCGAACCGUACAAUUAUAGCCAGGUUGAAGAAUAGAUUCACACCUGUAGAAAAAUUACAAUGGUAAUCAAAACAUUAGACACGCAGAUGAAUGUUUGUAUUAUAAUCCACCACCAUGGUGGUAACAACAUUAAGAUUGUACUGCAGUAUCUCCUUUGCUUCUAUACAAUCAAGAAAAAUAGUCUUGCAAGAAUCGAUCUUUAGUAGCAAAGAGCCAGAAGGAACCAUCCAGGCAGUGAAAACAUCUAGAAAUAUGGGUGAGCAUCGUUGCAUCAGCCAUCUGCAUAAAGGGUUAUAUUAGGACUUCAUUCUACAUCUAUGCUUCCUUCCUUCGCUUUCUUGCUCUAGCUGAGGGCAACUAGAGAUAAUAACUUGGGCCAAUGAGUGUUGUACUCAGACCUAUAUGUCAGUUUUAGGAAUGAUAUUACUUCCAAAACAAUUCGUUGUUGUAGAAAUACCAGUUAAUCUUCGAGUCAUGAAAUUCACUAGCUACUCCUAGAUAGAAGCACAAACAAAAUAUGUUUAUCCGAAACAUCAAGCAUGUUUGAGGAGAUUGGUUUCACGGAAGUAUUUUCCCAAAAUACGGUAAGACGGCCUUCUAUAAGCUACUAGAGCAAAUUCUACAAGAACGUUGUGUGUAAAAACUUGAUUGUCCAAAACAGUUUACUCCAUUACAGAGAAGAGGUCAUAAUCUGAUAGACAUACACGUAAUUUAACUGUACCGCAUCACAAACCAAAGCCUUUAAGCCUCUAAAAUUCCUAGGAACUAAUCAUGGAAGCACUAAAUCAAACUAAAAAACGUUACUACUGAAAUAGAACACAACAACUCUAAUACAACCAAAUAGGACUUGUAUCGAACAUGUAGAAUACGCCACAAGUAGAAAGCACAAAAACGAUAGGAAAAAUGGGAAGAAUUUAGGGGACCUCUGGCAGGAGAACAAUGAAGGGUCAGGAGGAACACCCAAGGCUUCAGCAGUGGCAGCCAAGCGGUGGCCAAAAAAAGCACCUAGUGAACAUACGGAAGCUUCGGCAGUAGCCCAGAUAGCGAGGUUUUUAAGGUGGUCCAAUUUCAACAUGGACUUGGGAUUUACGCUGCUCUGUUUCUUUCCGCUAGAUUCUUCUCUCAUUGUUCCUGAAGGAGCCUGCUGCAAGUGUGGCUGUGAAGAUAUUGCCGCUGCUGCUGCUGUGGAUGAAUUCUUCUUCUUACCCAUCGCUACUCAAAUUUGGAAACUCAAUAAAAGUAUCAAAAUAUGUUUUAAACACUUAAUGAGGAAUCGCAGCCACAAUAUCAAGAACAGUAACAGUAAGAUUCAAACUAGUAAAUAGUCUGAUAAUACCUGAAACAAAAAAGAAAAAGAAUCAGAUAAUUACCCAAAUCAACUUAGCUAGUUGGUGGGGUUUUGAUUGUUUGGACCAACGAAAUAGAAUAGAAAGCAGUGCCAGAGAGUGGCAGCAGCAGGGAAGAAGAGGGAGGAAUGAUUGAGGGACGGAAUAAAAGGAGAAACUCAGGUAGAGGCCGCAUGAGUCUUAUGACUUACAGUCUGGGCUGGGACAAGAUGGGUUCGAGACAGUUUAGCCCAGGUCAUGGUAUUCGGGCCAAAUAACUACUACUAGUCUACUACUUGUUUUCUUUGUGAACAGAUUUCGACACAAAAUAGUGCGGGAUAAUUUCAUAAACCCCCCUGAGAUUUUUUAUAAUUACAACCACCACCUUUAAAGUUUGAAAAAUUACACUUAUCCGUGCGUCCGAUCCUGAGGUGACUGCAAUUGUUUAAAAAACUCAAGGAGGUUCCUGAAAUUAUACCGUGCAACAAUGAAGAUAUUGGCUUCAGCCUCCUCGCUCCCAAACUUUAACUAACACAAGAUAAAAUUUUUAUACUCCAAGAAAAACUUUUCAUGUUAGCAUAGAAUUAUAGUGAAUUUUAUGGUGAGAGCAUUUAAUAAUUGAAAAAAUGUAGUUUGGUCCAUUCUAAUUUGGUCUAUACAAUAGGAACUACUUCCAUAUAAUAUGUUAUCCAUGUAAUCCUCUCUAGCUCACUCCCUAUUAACAUGAGGUGGUUUAGGUAUAACAACUGGAGUUUUAUAGACUUCAAGAGCUGCAUAUCUUGCUGCUAGGACUGAAGUGGCGGCACCAAUUACAAUAGCAUCCUCAUCAUCAUCACUAUCGGGAUCCAUCUAUGAAAAUUUAAUAUAAUUAUUAAUUGAUUGCAUGCAUAUAAUUGUUAAUUAGGAUUUAAAGAUGUACUUACCAAUGGAAUACCUUAGCGAAUGUGUAAGGAGUACGAUUACUUGAACAGAAAUUCGCAACAGAAAUCCAACUGCCGCCCAAAACCAUGAUGCCAAUAAGAUUACUUGUUUGGGUAAUAAACAUUUAAUUCACGUAGCAGUAGAUUAUUAGUAGUGUACCAGAAAAAGCCAGAGUGAUGCAGGGGUCUCAAAUGCAGAGUGAUGCAGGUUAUACCAAUAGCAGUUAAUGUUCUCCUUAAAUGUGGGCGGGCCCAAGAAGAAUAAGAGUAUAUAAAGGACAUAGGAAAAGAAAGUUAGCUUGUGUUCAUAGUUCAGCUGUUUCAGCACCCGAGACAGAGGAAAAGAAACAAUAUGAUUGUGUAGUCUCCUAAAACUUUUGUUAGCUACUUCAUUACUUUUUCCCAGAGAACCCCUUCCAAUGAAUCACGUUAAAAAGUGGACAGGAUUGGUAAAACAAUCUUGCUGCUGAAAUCUGAUAUUAAAAUAGGAGAGUGCAACUGUCUGUACAAAUGUUGCACGAAAUCUGCAUGAACAUGCAAAUACUAAGUCCCGAAGUGAUCUGUGGCUUUUCUUUCUGAUUAAACAUCUAUACAGGUCCACUUCAGUUUACAGGAAAGACAGCAAAAAAAAUCAAUUAUGCGCUGAUGUUGGAGCUUGGGGCGCAGGCUUAGCCCUAUUGGCUUGAGCUGGUUCUACUUGUGAUGACACAUUUCAAUAGAACUGAACUCAUUCUUCAAAUAUAGAAUUUUAAGUAGGACGAAUAUAGUCAGACAUUAUAGGAUCUGUUAUGAUUCACGAAAAACAAGAAUAUCAUUAUAGCUUGUUAACUGCAACGCUGGGAGAUUCUUUGCUCUCUGGGAUGAACACAAGCAAACUGUUUUCCUUCCUAAUCAGAUUUUGUCAACUAUUUACAAAUGGUCUCGCCAGACUGUAAGAAAAACACUACCCUACCCUACCCUACCCGGAUUCUGAUUCCAAGAAUCAUAAAACCCCCAAAACUCAGCAGCCAAAUUAAUUCAUUAGCAUCAAUCAAAUCAGAUUUAACCCUAAUCAGGUAAGAACAAACUAAAACAAAAGCAACUCACAAAAAUUCAUUCAAAUCCAACUUCAAGAAUCUACACCAGUAUUCUAGACAAUUUUUCAAAGGAAAAGGGAGGAAAAAAAGGCUAAUAAGAGACCAUCAUACCUCUGGAAAUACUUAAGGAGUUUUCACCCUUGUUGGAAAUGCUACUGUAGGAACGGGAAUGAGAUUGUGCUUAGGCCGUCAAACAAGCUUCUGAGGCUGCAUAAGCAAACGCAUCCACAAUGGCGGGCACAGCUCACAAACAAAAAGCAGACUGAAGAGUCAGAGAGGGAGAUGGUUACCGGCCGCAAUGGCUAAGUCUAGUUCCGAUGACUAGAGAAAUGGACCACACAAACUCACACUCACACAAACGCAUCCACACAUGACUUGAGCCGUUGAUAUUGGCCGCUUUCAAAGGAAAAAAAUAUAUGAGAGAGAGAGAGAGAGAGAGAUGCCGGAGUAGCUCACCUGAUGAGAUGCCAAAGAGAGAGAUGCCGGGAAUGAAAGUUAUUUUCCUGAUGAGAUGUCGCUGAUGAGAUCGAAAACCCUUGCUGGAGCCGUGAAAAGAAGAGGAAAAUAACUUCUUCAACAAUGAUAGAUAAUAAGGAAGUUAACCCGUGGGUAUAUCCGAAAUUAUUUUUCUAAAUUAAUUAAUAAUUAAACAAUGAAAAAUAUUUUUUAGAAAAUCUUUUUCAUCCAAACAAACAGAUCCUAAGUAUAAAUUAUAGGGUCUGUUUGGAUAGCUUGUUUUUGGGACUGUUUUUGAAAAACUGUUUUUCACAUUCCAAAUGCUACAAUAAAUGUGUAUUUCAAAAACAACUCCAAAAACACCAUAUCCAAACAAUAUAUCAAAAACAACUCCAAAUAAAUAUUUAAUAUGUUUAUUUCAAUUUGUAUAUUUCAAUUAUGUAUAGGAUAUAUAUAUAUAUAUAAUAUUAAUUUAAAUAUAUUUAUUUAUACAUAUUAUAAAUAUUUUAUUUUAUAAAUAAAUAUAUAUUGGAUAAAAUAUAUUUUUAUAUAUUUAUAAUAUAUUUAUAUAAAUAUUAUAUAUUAUAAAUUAUAUAAAUGAUAUAUAAUAAUAUGUAAUUAUACAUUUAUAAAAAUAUUAUAUAUUAUAUAUAUUUGAUAUAUACAUAAUAUAUAUUAUAUAUAUUAUACAUUUAUAUAAAUGUACAUUUAUACAUAAUAUAUAUAUUUAUGUAUAUUUAUAAUAUACUUUUAUAUUAUGUAUUAUAUAUAAUAUAAUACAUUUAUAAUAUAUUUAUACAUUUAUAUUAAUAUACAUAAUAUUAAUUAUACAUUUAUAUAUAAUAUUAAUACAUUUAUACAUUUAUAUUUAAUAUAUUAAUACAUUUAUACAUAAUAUUAACAUAUAUUUAUAAUAUAUUAAUUUAUACAUUUAUAUAAUAUUCAUUUAUAAUUUAUACACAUUUAUACAUUUAUAAAUAUAUUUAUAUUAUGUAUUAUAUAUAAUAUAUUUAUUAUAUAUAUAUAUUUAUAUGUAUUAUAAAUAAAUAUAUUUAUUUAUAAAUAUUUAUAAAUGUAUUAUAAAUGCAUAAAUGUAUAUAAAUAUAAAAAUAUAAAAUUUAUAAUUUAUAAUUUAUACAUUUAUACAUUUAUAUAAUAUUCAUUUAUAAUUUAUACACAUUUAUAAUAAUAUACAUUUAUACAUUUAUAAUACAUUUAUAUAUUUAUUUAUAAAUAUAUAAAUAUAUUUAUUUAUAAAUAUAUAAAUAUAUUUAUUUAUAAAUAUAUAAAUAUAUUUAUUUAUAAAUUUAUUAUAAAUGCAUAAAUGUAUAAAAAUAUAAAAAUUAUAAACUAUAAAUUAUAAUUUAUACAUUUAUAUAAUAUUCAUUUAUAAUUUAUACAUAGGGGUGCAAACGAGCCGAACCGAGUCAAACAUUGAACUUAUUGAGCCAGACUCGACUACUGUAUAUUCGAGUUCGAACUCGAGCUCGAGAAAAUUGAGCUCGAGCUCGACUCGACUAAGUAAGAAACUGGCUCGAGUUCGACUCGAUAAGGCUCGAUUUACUCAACUCGACAAGAGCUCGAAAUGGCUCGAAUUCAGCUCAAAAAUUUCUAUCACUAAAUAUAACCAGCUUUAUUUAACCUGACUCCAAUAGCACGUUUUAACCUAUUCAAUGCCUUGCAAACUUGAAUAUAACAAUUCCAAACAUGAAUUAAAAGUAACAACAAACAAGUUUUUCAUUGUCCAAUAAAUGAGAUCAAUUUUUUUUUCAAUAACAGCCCAUCUAGUAACAGAAAUAUAACAGAAAUGAAAGAAAAAGGAACAUCCUGAAGCAUACAAAGUGCUCCACACGAUUAACUCUGUUGAGAAAGUAUGAAACAACUUCUAAGCAAAAGGAACAUCCUGAAGCAUACAAAACUGAGCCUAAAACAUAAACAGCAAAAAAACCCAAAUUGCAGCUAGUAAACUCUUUUCCUAAUGUCUAUAAACUCCUGUUUUCCCAGGUUUGGAAUAUUAAAUGUAGUGCAACGCAAAUCCAAUCGUAGCAUAAGCCAAGAUUAUGUAAAAUAAAAAAAAUCAUAUCAAAGAUUAUGUUUAAUUACCUUCUUAGUUGAGUUUUGCAUAUUUACUCUGACCCUUGACUAAAUAUCAUCAAAGUCAUUCCAUUUACUCUUAGUGCACAAAUCUGUCAUAUCUUUAACAUUUAUACUUUCUCCUAUCACCAGCAGCCGAAAAGGUCAUUUAUACUUUAACAUUGAUUAAGUUCACUAAGCACAUAAUUUCUAAACGCAAUCCAGCUUGCAUUUUCUAACAGGACAAGCUAAAAAUUACCCCAGAAUGAGAAAAUAAAAAGUGAACAAUCAAAAACUACAAACCAAAAUUAUUUCAAUCAAACAGAAGGUAUAUUCCAUGAAAAUGUAUGUAAGAAGUUAAAAAAAGAAACCCAACGUUCUUACCAAUCUUCAAAAACCGUCCUAAAUCCAAACUCAAAAAAAAAAAAAAAAAUAAGGAGAAAAAAAUACAUAGACAAAAACGCUUGUUCCAACUUCCAAUCAAUAUCAGUACAAUCUUAAUUCACCGAAUACCUGAGAAGAGACAAAUUUUUUUUUUCGGCUAAUUGAUUGAAAUUGGGGACGGAAAUGGGAAGGAAGAGGCGAUCUAAGUCUAACGAGAGCUCCAGCUCCGUCGCCAUUAACAGGAAAGAGGAAAUUAAUAGUAAUAAUUUUACAUCUAUACAUUAUACAACAGGAACGAGGUGAAGAAGUCGAUCUGGCUUUAAUGACAGGAAACAAUCACUUAUUCUACCACCAAGCAUCAUUAUACAGCAACAAAAACAGAGAAUAAGGGAAUAAGAGUGAUGGAUUACCUGUUCGCGAGGCCCUCCACCAAUGGAGCUGAUGAAAUGUCUACCGUAGCUGAGUCUAACGUUGGCCAACAAACUGGGACUCGGAGAGAAAGGGCUCUUCAAUUGAAGGACGGCAGUGGUGGUGGCAGAAGUGGCCAACUGGUGAGUGGUGAAAACAGUGGUAGCGGCGGCUAGGGUUUGCUUUUGAUUUGGGGAAAGAGGAAUGCCGAGUUGCCGACAGCGGAACAGCCGAGUGGGAAGAAGAAAGAGGCGUGUUUGUGUUAGGGGUGUCCGCUGUCUUGGUCCUUAGUCCUUGGAGAAAUUGUAUCUAGUUUCUAGUUUAGUAAUUAGUUAAAUAAGUAGGGGUAUUUAUGUAAUUUUACACGGCUCGCGAGCUCGCGAGGCUCGAACUCGACUCGUAUUAUAAACAAGCUGGCUCGAACUCGAUAUUGACUGAGCUCGAGUCGAGCGUUGACCGAACUGCUCGCGAGCAGUUCGAUUCGUUUGCACCCCUAUUUAUACAUUUAUAAAUAUAUUUAUAUUAUGUAUUAUAUAUAAUAUAAUACAUUUAUAUAUUUUUAUAUAAAUAUAUUUAUUUAUAAAUAUUUAUAAAUAUAUUAUAAAUGUAUAAAUAUAUAUUGUUAUAAAAAUAUAAAAAUUAUAAAUUAUAAAAAUACUCGAAAAUAUGUUUUAAAAAUACAUCAAAAAAUAAUCCGUAAAACAUCUAUAGUAGAAGUUUGGAAUAUAGUUUUUGAAAAAUAAUUCCAAAAACAACUAAUUCAAACGGACUUGUAUUUGAAAAACGAAAUGCUACAGUGCUGUUUUUGAAAAACAACCCUAAAAAUAGCUAAUCCAAGCAGAGUCUAGUCUUUCAAAAAAAAAUGUAAGCGGCUUUUGAGAUUUACAUUAGAUUUGUAAAGUUAUAAAAGUCUUACGAAAGGUUUUGAUAAAAAAAAAGAGUAUAAAAUAUAGGAGAGAGAGAGAGAAGGUGAGUGUCAAAUUCUAUAUAUAUCGAAAUUUUCUUCUAUUAUUCAAAUUAUUAUUUUUUUUUUGACAAACGUAUUAUUCAAAUUAUUAUUUGAUAAUAGGAUUGUUAAUAGGAGUAGAUCAAGUUAAAUUCAGUUUGUGCGACCCGAAAAAAAGAUUACUGAAUCCAAAUCUCAUAUAAUAACAUAAAUUGAGUUUUAAAUUUUUAAUAUAAAUUUAAAGUCUAAAACCCAAAAAUUCAUAUAAUUUAUGAGGUGAGUUUGAGUUCACUAAGGCUGGAUUCAAAAAGUCAAUUGAUAAUUUGAUAUCAAUGUCAAUUUUAAAUAUGAUGGAUUGUUAAAGAAUUCCCCAAUCCACCCACUACAACUAUGGAGAAUUUUUUUUUUUUUAAGAAAAAGAAAAUUAUAUAGGGCAAUUACCGGAUAACCAUCUUGUUCCAGGGCUUCUACAAAAUCCCAACCCAACACUUGGCGCCUUAAAAUUUUCGGACCUGGAAGAAACCGCCUAGCUAGCUUACUAGCUCAUGACAUUUGCCCUCUCGGGUACGAACACUCUCUCUCACACACUGGCACACUCAUUAAUCACACACAGUAAUCGCAAUGGGUAAUCGGAGGUUCACUCAGAUGCCGCCGAGCGAUGACGAGGACGACGGGCCACCGCCACCACCUCCGCCGCCGCGGCGGAGCUCAGCGAACGGUGACGAGGAGAAAACGAACCAAAGGAAGCGGAAGAAAAUGAAGCUCGUCGACGAAGAAGAAGAUGAAGAAAAGCAAGUGAAGGAAGACAGUGUCAGAGAUAGGAAGAAGCAAAAGAAAGUGAUCAAAGAAGAAGAAGCAACUGCGGCUGAGCCUAGCGGUGAUGAGGAGGAGGCUCCUCAGGAGGACGCCAAGCCAAUUGGCGAUGUAAUUAGGGCUUCGGGAAAAGGAAGAGGGAGGAGGAAUCACUAUGAGGCCUUCGAAUAUGAUGGAAUGCGAUAUGAUUUGGUAAAUAUUAAUUCGAAAUUCUCGUUAAUUGGAUUCAUUUCUUGGGUAAUACUUAUGCUCAUAAGUAAGCAUUUCAAACAAUAUCAUUGCUGAAUUGUAUGCAACUUUGUUGAAUACUUUUAGAAAUUAGUUGUAAUUGUAAGCUUCGACCCAUUAAUUAGAAGUUGAGGCUAAAAAAGGGUUAUUUUGUGCAGAACAAGAACUAGAGUUCAUACAAGCCAUGUUAAAUGAAACUAAUAAGCACGAAAAAUACAAAGUAAGGUUCCUGCUACGGUUAUGCCUGUAUAUUCGUGGUACAUGUGAAGGGUUAGAGAGGGAGAAAGAGCCUAUCUUAUGCUCUUUUUUUUUUUUUGGUUCCCUACAAAUGAUGUGAGAAUUCUCUUACUCUAGAUUUCAAAUAACUUCAGGAGGAAUUAGUUGAAAUCUGUUGCUAUAUAGCUGAAACUCAUGUAGGGUGGAUUUAAAGUCCUUUAUGCCCGGUUCAUCCACCCAAUGAAAAUUUUCCGGGUCAAGCUGUUAUAUGUAUCUUUGGAGCUUUGAAUCAGGGACUCAGAGUCCUGUGUGUAUUGGACGAAGGGGAACCUGCAAAUGUAGUAUUAGGAGGAUCUUUUGAUAGGUAAAAUCUGACCAUGAGAGGAGACAAGGAAGACUAUGUAUGGGGCAUGAAAUUCUAGGCUUUCUGUUUCUACCAUUUUAAUUGAAAGUAAAUCUUUUAUAGUGCAAAUGAUCCUUAGCUGGCAUGGUGUAACGAAUGUCAAUUAUGGCAACCUUUUUCUAAGUGGUCAUUUGAGCAUCACAUGAGCAUCUUGUUGUAGAUACUGCUGUUUGCAUGUGCCCAUUUGGUGGCUGUGAAAUCAUUUGGAACUCGUUUGAUGCUUCUGUUGUUGCUUUUACUUUACCACACUUGAUUGAUGACCACAAUAAUAUUUACCUUCCUAGAACUCCUUUUUCUUGAUAAAGGUUGUGAAUUCUAUACUGAUUUGGUGUGGGAGGCAAAACAAUUGGAUAUAUUAUCCAUAUGAAAGUUUAUACAUCUUAAAAUGCUGAAAGCAUCUGUUAGUCAAGCCUACUUAUUUUAGUAGACUUUGGGCAUGUACCAGGUUUCUGGCUCCUACUGAGCUAAAAGUUAUUUUGAGUUUAUCUUAAAUGCACAUGGCUUUUGCUAUGCGCUUAAUGUAAGCUGAAGAAGCUGGACUGGAAAUACGGCCCCUGAGGUGGUUGCAGAAACACUUGUUGGCUUCUUUGGAACUUUUAAACCAAAAGCAUGUUUUCAACCGUUAAAAAGCUUAUUUGAUGAAUACUUUCUUUAAAAAGCUUUAAAAAGCUGAAGAAUUUCGGAUGAGGCUCUGUUUUUGAUGUAAAAAGCUUAUUUGAUGAAUACUUUGUCAAUAAGCUGAAGUCUAAAAGAUUCAUUAGAAUUUACAGCUUUUAGGAAAAUAUCUGAAUAUGUAUGAAGAUUUUUUGCUAUGCUCUUCCUGAUAAUGAAGAAGAAGAGAGAGAAGCGAAGUGGACAAAAAUGUAUAUUGCAAGAAAUUAUUAACAUGUAUCACAUCUGAUCUAUUUCUGUUUUGUAUCCAAACAUAUUCCUGUGUUGAGAUGCAAGCAAUCAAUUACAGUAAAAUAAAAUUUUAUAAAAAGUAGUCAUAUGAAGAAUGUUUGAGAUCUUGAUCAGGAAUUCUGUGUUUCAUUACAUGAUGGUCAAUAUAUCUGCCCCUUUUAGAAGCAAUUACUAGUAAAAUAGUUUCUGUAGAUAUAUUUCCAUGUCUAACUUGCUUUAGUUUUCUAUCUUUGAUUUUGCGAUAGGAGGAUCCUCUGCUCUUAGUGCCUGAGGAAGCAAAUCAGAAGCCUUAUGUGGCCAUUAUCAAGGUAUGUGUGAAUUGUCAUAAAUCCUGUUGCACAAGCUGAACAUGAAGACUGAAGAUUAUAUACCCAUUCUAUAUUUUUGAGGAUAUUUCUAUUUUAAACUGCAAGUGUGCAGUAAUGUGAAGAAAUUAUGAAGAAGAAUGAAAGACAUAUAUAACAAGUAUUUUUCAUGGUUUUGCUCGUCCUCUUGCCAUUCUUUCUAUUUCCCAGUGGGGGUUAUAUUCCAGUGGACUUUUUUGUUUAGCUAAUGAGCUGUCUCAUAGGCUUCUUUGGUGGUGGAUCAUUUUGUUGGUCUAUUGGGCUUUGAAACUAUAGAAUUGUUGAAUAGACUCCUUAAUGUACCUUACGACUUCCUGAGUUUUCUGUCCUGCACAUUGCUUCAAUAACGGUUGUCAAAGGCUGAUUGUUGAAAUGGUUUUGCUAUAUUCAAUGCUGUUUUCAGUUUUUUCUUUUUCCCUAAAGAUUAUCUAUAUUGGUUGUCUAGAGCAUUUACCUGGUCCCUUAGUGGCAUACACACUUUAUAGGUGAAAGGCCUAAUGCGUUGUUGUUAGUUGGUUUUUGUGCAAAUGAUUGUAUUAUACUGGAGUACGUUGAUACUGGUUUUUCGGCAUCAGUAGCUUGGCAAAUUUGCAGAGAAUGUUUCCAGUUGUGUAGAAUUGGUAUUUUUUCAGUUGUGGCAAAUUUGCUUCUGUUUUCAGGACAUUUCUCAGACAAGAAAUGGCAGCUUGAUGGUCACUGGGCAAUGGUUUUAUCGCCCUGAAGAGGCAGAAAAGAAAAGUGGUGGUAAUUGGCAAUCCACUGAUACGCGAGAGCUGUUUUAUAGUUUUCACCGGGAUGAGGUCCCAGCAGAAUCUGUCAUGCACAAGUGUGUGGUGCAUUUUAUACCUCUGAACAAGCAGAUUCCCCCACGGAAGCAACAUCCAGGUUUCAUAGUGCAAAGGGUAUACGACACUGAACAAAGAAGGCUUUUCAAGCUUACAGAUAAAGAUUAUGAAGACAACAAACAGGAAGAGAUUGAUCUCCUUGUUCAGAAGACAAUGUCACGCUUGGGAGAUCUUCCUGACAUCGAGCCAGAGGAGGCAGCUACUGAUCAGGAACAUCAGUUGAGAAACAAGAGACUGUUGAGGAAGAAGAGCAUGACUCAGUUGGAUGUUUCCCGAGAGGAUGAAGCAUCUACAAGAUCUGGGCAGUCUUUUAAAGCUGAGACUCCAGGAAGUUGUGCUAGUAAUGCAUCAGAAUAUUACACCAUUCUUUCAAGCUUAAAGGCCCUGACUGGUGAAACACAGUGGGACAAGUGGUUGGAAAGGCUGCUUCAAUCGAUUCAGUUUAUAUGCACUGCCGCUGAUGGGGGGCCGGGUGAUGGAAAGGGGCUACCAGCUCCUGCAAAUCGAAAUGAGGUCAAGAAUCUUAAUGUAAUGGCCAGCUUCUCUUUCAUCAGCUUUUCUAAGAGUAAUUUGACACCUCAUAUCGUGAUGGUUCUUCACUACUACUAUAGUUGAUCUACAAGAAUCUGCAAAUUGGCACUGGAUGAUCUUUUCUAUUAUAUAAUUGUUUAAUUUAAUUUUAUAUGUUUAGAGUGGUUUGCCUUUUCACUGGCCGGACAGCGCUGUUUCUGCUAUAGCUGCUCUUGAAAAGGCUUCUCAUGAAGCUUUAUCCUCAGACUUUCAGAAGUAUAACCAAAAGAUGCGGCAAUUGGCUUUCAAUCUUAAGGUGAACAGUAUCUGUAUCUGUCAUGUGUUUGAUGAUUUAUUUUAUUCUUUAAGGUCUGUUUUCGUGAGAUGGGAUGAAAAUUGGAUUGUGGGUGAACUUAAUAUCCUGAAGUUUCAUGUUUCAGUGUUGUGAUGAUGAUGUCUUUCCUUUUCUAAAUAAAAGAUAAGGAAACCAUUCUUUGUGGUCUUUUGAUUCCUGAAGCUAUCAUUCUUCCCAUCUUCUGAUUCUCUUGGGGGCUUUUUCUUCAAUUCUGAACCAUUUGCAGAACAAUGCAGUUUUAGCAGGAUGACUUCUGAAGGGAGAGUUGGAGCCUUCACAAAUAUUGAGCAUGACACCUAAUGAGUUAAAGGUAUAGCUGUUACUUUUUUUCAUGAUCUAUAAUUUCCGGAUGAUUCUCCUUUAAUCGUUCAUUCUAUUGGAUGAAUAAAUUGUUCUCUUCAGUGAUUCCUGUGUCGGCAAUCUUCGUAUUACACUUAGAUUCAUUCUAUAUUCUUGUACACGAAUAUGCAUCAUUUUUUAUUCGUAUAAUACAAUGCAUAAAUGGUGCAUGGUCCAGUUGUAUCCAUGACAUUAUGUACAGCUGGUCUAGUUUUCCUAACAUGGCUUUUUACUCCUGAUUUUGUAAUACUAGAUAAUUGCUAUCAGCAAUAUUUUUACCUUGUUAGCCUUUUCUUUUAUGCUUCAGGAGGGUUUGACAGCAGAGGAGAUAGCGAGUAGGAAGCCUGAGGAGUCAGAACACAGGCAGGUAAUCAUCUCGAUUUGUGGAUUUUCUGGAGAUUAACUCUUUAGUUUUGGAAGGAUAACUAAUAAAAACUUGCAUUGUGUAGAGAUAACUUUUUGAAAACUUGUUUUCAGUCACAUAGAGCCAGCAAUUUUCUCUUAUUUCGUGGAAUAUCAUCUGGAAUUUUGUCUAUAUGCCUGUAAAAAUUUCAGCCGUCUACCUUGGAACGAUGGAGUUUAUUAUUAUUAUUUGGCUGGAGCCAUGGAGAUUUAAAUGGACUAUAUGGGAAUUAGUUCUGGCUAUAGUUGUAUCCAUGAGAUUGACCUGACAAUACAGUAGUAGGUUUUCAUGGCUCCAUCGUGUUAGAAUUGUUAUUAUCUUUUUAAAAACGUUUCUGCGAUAUUUCUGGUGAGGAUAUUACUUUCUCUUUUUUUAGGCUAAAGGAUGUACAAGUGUUGUUAACGCUGUGAUUUGGCUUAUGAUACAGAUGACAGAUGCUCGCUGCAAAAGGUGCAUGGAGAAGAAAGUGGUUCUUAUAGAUAUAAUUCAGACUGGCCAUGGAGAUCGUUAUCAGGUUUGCACUCAUACGCAUUGAACUUGUUUCUCGAUUACCUUGCCUUGUAUGAAUGCAAGCAUAUUAUCUGCCAUAGUUCAUGUUAUUUUUUACUUAAUCCAGAUGCAAGAUAUACUUUAUCUUUCACUCUCUUUAGCUUGCUCACUCCUGGAUGUCCACUUGUUAAGUUGUACCAAUGUGCUAAUAUCUAUUUCUUCUUCUUUUUUUUCAAUCCCAAUUUCUCAUAAUUUUUCUGGGGUUUUUUUUGUUUUGUUGGUUUUAUCUUUUUCCCUUUUUCUUUUUGCCUCUUCUCUCUUUUGGUUAAUGGGAAAUUUUUUUUUUUUUUUGGGGGCUGAUCUUAAAGAGUAUGGUUGGCUGAUGUUUGUGUUACUUGAUGUUGAUGCUUAGAGUUAGAGGCGUUUAUUUUCCACAACAUACUGAGAAAUUGAGAAGUGUAUGGUUUCUUGCAGCAAUGAGAGUAAGUUUUUCGAUACUGCGCUUCAUCCCUAGGUUAUGUAGAAAGGAGUCAGUUUUGAGGAUGAGCCUGCUGUCAACUUAUACAUCGUACCCCACUUGUUUUUUUUUUUUUUUUGGGGUUUUCCCUUUUCUGGGCGGUGUGGAGUUUCCAUUGACUUCAUAUUUUCCCCCAUCCGGUCUUGGUGAAAUUUUCAGCUGGAGUGCAAUGCUUGUGGCAACAACUGGUAUGCUUCAAGUGAUGAAGUAUCUACGUUGACGAUAGAUGAGCCAAGUUCUGCGAGGACUGUUGGAACCGUACCUUUGGCGACUGCCAAGUUCGAAGAUGUGGAAAAGAAGUUGGUUAGUCCUCGUAGACAUGACAAGUCAGCAGAUGAUGGGUUUAAGAAGACGAGUGAAGCUUUUGUGGCCGUGCUGGACAGCCAGAAAUAGUCAUGGAAGCCUGCCUAAAAGUAUAUAUAAAUUAUUACUGUAUGAUACUACUAAAUACUAAUGGUGGCAUGGUGCUACGAGUCAUGUUCUCUCGAAUUUUUAGGGAUUUUACUUGUCUAUGGCGUUAGAGACUAGUUUGGAUGGGUAAUCAUGCCUAGGUGUAGUGUAUAGACAUAGCAAAUGUAAAACGCGGGAACCUUUGCAUGGUGGAGCUUUAGGCUUUUAUAGGAGGAUGUUUGUCUAGUGAGUAAAUCCAUAGGUGAGAGCUUUGGUUAUUGUUUAUGGAAGAAGUUUGGUUUACAAAGUGGGCAGCGUGUUUUUAUCUAUGCUACUUUUCCCCUUUUGUUGUCUGUUUGUUGUUUUUCUGUUGUCUGCGAGCAAAAUAACCUACGAACGUGUUUAGAAGUGGCAAGCAAGGAAAUGGCAAAAAAUGAUCAUUAAACAAUUCAACGUUUCUUGUUUUAAUCAGUAGACUAGCAAAAACGAUCAUUCAACUAAAUAAAACAACAUAUAUUUUGUAUACUUUUACAUUUUAUUAAUUGAAUGAAUGACCAAGACAAGAAUGAACUUCUUAGUUUAGCGACCAAAGUAUCGAAUCCGAAGUACUUCAACGACCAUUCUUUUGUAGUUUGCUCUACUAGUACUCAAUAUGGAUGGAGGCCCGAGAAAAGUCAGACUGGAAGAAACUGGAAUAAAGAAAUCGGCUUUAUCUAGAACAUGAUCACUACUUUUCUUCACCUGCCAUAUGACAUAUACGUAUCUGCACGAAGACUGAGAAUAGUUUGUCCAGCAUAUUUCGUCGCUAUCCAACACCAUUCCUCUUCAGCAACCUAGAAGCAGUAGUAUAUUUUUUGUUGGCACAUGUCCCUGUUGCAUAUAUUUUUGUUGUCCACAUCUAAUCAAUUUACGUUGUCUAUUGCUAUCACGUACUUGGCAGCUAUGACGAAUAUCCCAUCGGGACAGGUUUGACUCUCUGGUCCUGGAAGAUGAGCUAUGAGCUAUGAAUCUAGAUGGUCAAUCUUCCCCUGCUAAAUAAACAUCUCUCCUCCAUAUUAAACUAAACCCUUUUCUUUUCCGCUAAAAUUAAAAAAAAAAAAGAAAGAAAAUUGCUUUCUACCAAUUUGUAUUCAUAAGAACUCGAAUUCAUUCAUACUUGCUCAUCUUACCAUAAAAACGAAUGGAAUACAUAGAAUAUAUAGACUCGUGGAACUCAGAUUUCUUUUGGAUUCAUUGUGGCAAAAUGUUUCGUUCGUGAUUCUUCCAUAUGUGCAAUUAGCAAUUGCUCAUUGAACAGAUUGAGAUAACCUUGGAUAAACAGAGAAAUGCUCAAAUAUAGUUGUGGCAUCCCUCAAUUACCUAUGUAACAACCACCAGGCAAAACAAAAGGGAAAAAUAAAAAAUAAAAAUAGACACAAAAGAAAAAGAACUAAAAAAAAAAAAGAAAAAGAAAAAACCAACAACAACAACAACACUGGUCAUGAUGGAUCUCUCAGAAGAUGAAGAAGUUUUUUUUCUUCUUGUAAUUAUUGCAUGAAAUUCUUACAUAGAGACUAGGUUGUGUAACAUGAAGAUUUUGAUCGAAAGAAACUUUGUGCUUUGAUCGUGAUUGCACAGACAUGAACGGUUCUGUUCUUCAACGUGUCAAAAAACAAAUACAAUAUCUAUCUAUACAAGAAAAAGAAAAGAAAAGAAAAGAAAUCGAUAUCUGCAGCUGUGAUCAAAAUUCACUUGUGAGAUAAUCCAAAUCCAUUAGCAAGUGCAUGAACUGCAGGAUUGAAUGCAAGUCUUCCCAAAAUCCCCUGCUUGUAAGGCAAGAAGGUCUUCUUCUUCAGAUCUUCGGAAACUGCUUUGUUAACAGUAUAAUGCAAUUCGUGAGCAGAAACAGGACUCCUCCUCCUUGAUGGAACCAACCCAGAAGGGCUAUCAAUACUCCUCAUGCUCGAAGUCCUCACAUCUUCACGUCUCCUGACUGCAGCUGUAUAUUUUUUCAGAGGAUCUUUGUCGGCUGCUCUGCCUUCUGAUGCGCUUCGGAAUAAGAAAAAGUCUUUGAAUUUCCAUCUCUUGUACCCUUUUGAAAAUGAAGCCAAAGCUGAAGAGGCAAAGUUAGAUGCACUUUUGGCAAUGAUUGAUGACUCGCUUCUAUUCUGCUGCUGGCUGCUCUGCUCUUCUUGUUCCCAAGGAUACCGAGAAACCCUUAAAGGAGAGAGCGAUCUUGUUCCUCUUCGGCUCGAUGAUUUCAUCCCUGCAGGAGCUCUUUCCCUUCCUCUAUCGGCCCUCGGCGAUCUUUGACCCGUUGUUUUGGGUGAAUGACUAAAAGGGGUGGAGGAUUCUCUCUUGUACCUCGGCGAGAACCCCAACACAAUCUUCUUGCGCUGUGAUGCCGAUGCUGGCGAUGUUGGGGAUAGAUUAAUUGAGCUUGAGCCACUGAUUCUUGCUGCAGAAGGAAGUUGUAGUCCAGGCGGAGGCUUGAAAGGCUUAAUUACUCCGCCAUCAAACAGUUCUUCAGCUGACAGAGAUGCUGUUUCCAAAUCAUCAAGACCAACAUGAAAAGCAAAAUCAUCAUCAUGUUUUGUGGCGGCGGCCUUGGGUGAUUUUGGGGUACCAGGCUUUUCUUCCCAGUCAAAAGGCACGGCCGCUUCUGAAUAAGAGCCUUCUCCAUUGCUGAUAUUCUCGUUGAUCCUCAGGAAUUCAUCAAACUCCCGGUAAAACUGGGAGAGCCGAGAUGGGCUGGCAGGAGCACUGCAGUAGACAUCUCCAAAAGCCUUUGGGGUACGAGGACUGCUGGAAUGAUGCAUUGGAGAAGAACGAGCACUAUUGAAAUCAAAAUCCAUGUUUUGAUGAAUUGGCACCACAAUUUCCAUCUUCUCCACAAACUUCGCCGACACUUUCGGCUGUUUAGGAGUCUGCUGUGGAAAAUAGCAAAGCAAAAGUACUAGCAGAGGCAGAUGCCUAACAACUCCUUUGGUUCAGCUAUAAGAAGGAAGUUGCAGCUUACAAGUAGUAUUGGAAUAGUAGUGGUAGCAGGAAAGAAGAGAGAAAGAGCAGCCAGAUAUUAUUGACUCGAAGAGGUGUAAGAGGAGGAAGAAGAAGAAGAAGCCGCCGCCAUUUAUUACUUUUGUGGUCGGAUGAUUCCUUGUCACCUUCUCCUAUUUAUCGACUUCGAUGCUCAGCUCCAAGUGUUUUAAUUUUGCGCGACAAGCAUUAAUGGCCCCGCAAAGUACAAAUUUUCCUUCAAGUAUAAGGAUAAUGGUUGUUAAAAAAUAUAUUACCAAAGCCACGACAUGCGUAAUGAAUUAAUUUCAUAAAGCGUUAAUUUUCAUCCUGAUAUCACUUGAUACAAUACACCCAAAAAUCAAACUUACCGCCCCCUAUCAAUAUGAUGUGUUUAGAUGUCCCGAGACAUUGAAACUACAAAGUUACCUCCAAUAUCUUCCUACUUUUUUUAGGUAGCAAAAGGUUGGGAAAAUAUUUAAAAAAUACAAGCUAAAAUAUCUAAAAACAAAUAAUAAGAAUGCCAUCUAAAAUAUUUUUCUCCUUCUUUAAUCUUUGCUUGUAUUUUUAAUGUUCGUCGUUGCCAUAACCGGUCUCAUAAAAUUUUCAUUCUAAUUUCCCUCUUCGUGGCAAAACUUUCGUGUUUCUUUGCUCUUAAUUUCCUCCUUGUUUGUUGUGACCAAUCUCUUGAAACUUUUGCCUUUUUAUAAUGUUUAAUUUCGUCCUUGUUCCUAUUUAUUGCAGUUACACCUUCUUAUAUUAUAAAUUUAAUAUUCCACCUUAUUGGUCUUUUUUUCAUAUUUCAAAAUUCACAAAUCAAAUUGCAUGAGGAUAAAAGUGGAAGGAUAACAUAAUCUCUCUCCUCCAAUGCUUUUUUUUUUUUUUCAAUAUUACUUUUAUACGUAAGGGGUGACAAUGUUACACAAAUUAUCAUUCAAGGGGAGCCAUAUGAAAUUUCUGAAACUUUAAGGGUGCUAGGUGAUAUUAUGAUAAAUCUCAGGGAGGUUCCUGAUAUUAACGCUUUCAUAGAUGGGAGUAGUUUUCUUAUUACGGAAUAACCUUUGAAUCAAUGGGGCAUGCAUGUCCCUCGAGGACCAAUGCUUGAUGUCACGUUUGCCUGGCCUCUACCCCCAAAGAUGAAAGUCCUGAAAUUAUAAAAUUAAGGAGGCAAUUUCACACGAUCAACAAAACGGGUUAAUGUCCCUAUUAGUUCGUCAGGUUGGAUUUUUGGAAACGAUUCUCUUCAUUUUUAAUCUUGUACUUGCCCAAUUUCAAUACUAUAGUUUUGCCUGAACCAAAUUAUCUCAUUAACAAAUAAAAUUUGCGGAAGAAAUCUCGGACUAGAUUGAUUGAAAUGGUAUCAUAUUUUAUAAAUUUUCAAACUCUUUUUAUUCUUUUUCGCUUUGAAUCAGUGCUUGUAUUUUCUUCUGGGGCACUCAAGAUAAUAGUUGACAAUUGAAUAGUAAAUUCCUCUGGAUAACAAUAUUGAUUUUUUUUUUUUUUUGUAGCUGUAAUCAACCCAUUUAAAUGGAAUUGAUGAUGGGGAACUUCACCGUUGACAUUGCUAUUAUAUUUGGCUUGAGUAAACGGCAUGAAAAAUUGAAGAGAACGUAGAAUAAGAAGAUGACCCCAAUUGAUAGGUAAAAUAUUUGUAUAAAAUCUGACACUCCAGUUUCUAGAUGCAGCCAGGGAUCAAUUACUUGGACAAAAUUGACAGCAAAAGGCCAGAAAGGAGAUUGAGUCGCCUAAAACGUGGGAUAUUAAUUAGGCAUUAGUUGGAAUAAGAGGACCUUCAAACAGUGCUGUUUUACUCGAAUGACAAACUUGUGUUUUAUGCAUGCCACGAAUGCAUUUGCUCCCUGAGUUAAUAAAGUGUAAAAAGCAACUUCCUAUUUUCAAUGAUACGACUUUCACUCCUCUUUUUCCUUCUUUCUUUUGACAAAUAGUGAUUCAAAAGCGAACCGGUGGCGGUAUUAUUGACAAAAUGGAGUGCUAGCCCUGCCACAGACUACCAUGUGAGAUUGAAGGAACAUAUUAAUAAUGCUCCAAGUUUAUACUUUACAUGAUCUAAUUUUGAAAAGAAACCCACAGUUAGAGCUGUUAAUCGAAUCGAGUAGCUCGCGAGCCGAACUCGACCCGGUUCGAUAAGGGCUCGACUCGGCUCGUUUAUUGAGAGAAACGAGCCGAGCUCGAGUUCAACUUGAUGCUCGUUUAAUAGACGAGCCGAGCUAUGCUCGACUCGUUUAAGCUCGAUAGGCUCGAAUAGUAGGGGUAUUAGCGUAAUUUCAUUGUGUAUUUGAUACUCUACAGGCUCGAUAGACUCGACAGGCUCGAGUUCGAACUCGAAACUACUAUAAAUAGUAGGAGUAUUAGCGUCAUUUUUAUUGCGUAUUUGAUACUCGACAGGCUCAAGUUCGAGCUCGAUAAGCUCGACUCGAUUUUGAACUCGAGUUUGAGUUCGAGCUCGAGUUUUCUAUCGAUCACAUCGAGUCGAUCUCGAAUAGUUUGUGAAACUCUAAUUACUAAUCGAGCGAGCUCGAGCUGGCUCGAUUAGGGGUUCGAGUCGAGCUCGAUUAUCACGUGCUCGAGCUCGGCUCGGCUCGUUAACAGCUAUACCCACAGUGUGAGUUAAUUGUUAUGAAUCCAUUUCAUUUACAUAUGUUAUGAAACAUAAUCAUUCAAUCAUAAAUCUAUUCAUUUCUCUUUUUGAUAAAACAUAAGUCAAUAGUAUUAAUAAUCUAACUAGAAAUCGUCCAUCACGAUUUGCUCGGCAAAGUAAUCCGCACCAAUGACAGAAAAUACAUUGAACAUGUCACAGAUAUAUUUGAUUUAAAAAAUUACAAGAUUUAAUAGAGUUACAAAACAUAAAAAAAUUACACAGUGAUCGCAAAUCAUCGAAUCUGACCAAUUGAACGAACUGCCCAUAGAUGUCUGUGCAUGUCUAUUCUCUUACACCUACUAUCCAACUCGCCAUAAAUCUAUUCAUACUUGUUAUAAAUUGUAGACUCCAGUCAAAAAAAUACCGCUAUUUACAUUGUUUUCGAGACAUCUCGCGCGCAUUUUCCAUCUAUCUCUUCAUCUAGAAAUACACAUCCAUCCAAGAAGGCGUUAUUGUGACAUCUUUUGCAUGCAUCUAAUGUAUGGUCCACGAGCAAAGUCUUGCAUUGUUCGUCUACAGUGGCUCCAUCUGGCAGCGCAGUAGAUGAAGCAAUAACUUCCGAAAUAGACUCAGCUUUCGGCGCAGCUUUUGGACAGAUGCGUUGCAGUCCCAGAACGCAAACCGUUCUCUUCUUUCACAUAUGGCGGUGGUUGCUGCCUGGUUAGGCUUAGCUAAAUUGAAGGAAGUUGCACGAUCUCGUUUCUUUUUUUUUUUCCUUAGUGCACCCUUAGCCAUGAAAAUGAAAUCAAAUUAAACAGGUAGAUGCCCUAAACUAUUGAUGCCUACAGUUGAAAUAUAGAAUUACCCGUCAGGCUAACUUUGUAUUUUCUCUAGAGAGAAGAGUACAAGAUUUUCUCAUAGACUACUGGUCGAUAUUGGUAAUAUAUACUUUAAAUUCAGCGGAAUUUAAUACUAGUAAUAUAUUUCCAAUUAUUUGUCUAUAUUGGUCGGGUUCAUAUAAGGUUUUAUAUAUUUAAUCAUCAAAUUGCAGCUCUUUUUUUUUUUCUUUUUUUGAGAAUUUAUUACUUUGACAAGAAGAUGAUUCUGUAAUAGGGUUGAUCGUUCUUGCCAAGGUUAAGAUUCCAAAGUUUUCUGUCUAUUCUUCAGCUGGUGCAAUAAUCGGCUCAACGGCGUAGCUUAGCUGAAGAAAAUUUGCUUGAACACCUUCCAAUAUUUUCCAGAAAGUGUUAGUUACCAAUUUGUAGGUGAUGAUUUCGAAAGCAACCGACAACUACCAUUUUCCUUCACGUACAAGACAGGGUCCUAUGAUCCACGUACAGCAAAUACGAUAGCAUGCAGUGGAAUCUGGGACGAAAAACUUGCUGCUAAUGCAUAUGGUUGUAUAGCCGGCAAUUUUUCAUCAAAAUAAGAGUUGUGUCAUUUUCGUUGUCCAUGAUAAUAUGUCCUUAGCAUUGGUUGGUGGCCUACUCAACGGUUAUUCAUCCGGGGUACUUCAUCGUUUGCGUUGUCUCAAGUGAACCGCCAUGUUCUAAUUUGGCAGCUACUAUUUACCGGGAAGGAGAAGACAGUUCGUUAGAAAAAGAAGAAGAAGAAAAAACCCGUCUAGCUUAAUAUCAACCUAUGGCAAGAAAAUUGCGCAAUUCACUAUCCAAUUUCGAUUUUGCCAAGCGUUAAUCGUGCAGAAUUCUUUCUAACAAAUUAGAUGAUGACGAUGGUAAUGGAGAUCGGCUAUUAAAAGAAAAAGAAGAAAAAUAGUAAAAGAUUUUCCUAAAUUCUUAGAAGAUAAGCUUCAAAAAAAAAUAGGCAAUAUCUUGAGUUUGCAAUAAGGUUACAAACGAGCUGAAUCGAAUUGAAUUUUAACCUAAUUCAGUCGACUUAAUUUCACUAAACUCGAGCACAAGUUCAAACUCAACGAACUCUCAAUGUAAAACUUGGGUUCGAGUUGAGUCGAACUCGAGUUCGAGUUUAAAAAAUAAAAAAUUAUUAUUUUAUUUUUUAAAAAAAUGGAUAAAUAGUAAUUUUACUUAACAAAUUAUAAAAUAUUAUAAAUUUAUAUGUAAUUUCACUAUUAAAAUAAAAGCUAAUAUAUAUACAUAUAUAAUCGAACCGAUUCACGAGUUAACGAGUUAAGUAUCUUUAAAUUCAAGUUCGACCUUAAACUUUGAUUUAAUCAGCUCGAACUCGACUCGAGUUGAUCGAACUCGAGUUGAGUUUUGACUCAAACUGCUCGCGAUUGGCUCGACUCGUAUGUAGCCUAGUUUGCAGUUAGCCAGCAGCAAUAAAGUGAAUAUUUUAUGUUUGACUACAAGAGACAAAAUGGAGCCAUCACGUUUAGCUUUUAUAUUUGCCACUGAUUCAUUCUUAUCUCUCUUCCAGUUUGAUUAUAUUCUUCCCAAAAGGGGUGUGAACAACCAAAAUUCAUAAUAAAAACUAUUGGUAUUGUCUUUUUACAUAGGGAUCUCAAGGUAGCGAGCGACUUGUAAUCCUCGUGCCAUCCAUUUUGUUUCUUUUUAUUUAUUUAUUUAUUUAAUUGGUUGGAACCUCAGACAGCGAAUUAAACUAAUUGUAUUUGAUUAGUUCCAACGGGUAAUCUUAGGGAGACUGCUGCGUUGUGGGCUUGUGGCACACGGGAGACGACCGUCUAGAAGGACAUGUUGAUGACUGCAGAUUUCUGAAUAUUCUUGGAUGAACUUAUUCACCAGAAACGUAGUUCUAAAGCUGCUAACAACACUCCUACUGGGGAGUACUAUGUUGGGAGUUUUUGGUAGAGACUAGGAAAAUUCUGUCCAAUUUACGUGCUACUUACGACUAAGCAUUGUUAAUACUAUGUAUCAACUUAGCAGAAGCCUAAAUUGGACAGAGCUUUGGCGGAUUAAACAUGGAAUGGUAGUGGCAAUUAAAAUUGUUAAUCAAAAUUAAGAUGAAUGCUUUGCAACUCUUGCUUAGCAUCAACGAAACACCGUGUUCUUACGACAUAAAUUCCAUUACCAGCAUUUUUUUUUCCCCUUAAAGAAAGAAUUGAAUGAGCCUUGCGAAAAAGAGACGAUAUAAGAGUAAUAAAGUAUGUCAUGAUCACCUGAUUAAUAUUCUGACAAGUUGAAAAGCAUCAUGGAUUGGAGACAACACCAGCUCAUUCCAAAUUUCUGCGAAAGAGUAACCACACCCUUAAAAUAUCUGAUUCGUCUGCAAGAAGAAUCAGUAAAACAAGAAGAAGAAUUUUAAGCUUCAAUUUCCUCGAGGAUGAUAUUCCUUUUGCAGAAAGUGCUUCGUGACAACAAACGAACUGUACUGCAUCAUCAUCACUGUGAUCUUCUGGGUCGGUGCCAUUUCCCCUUUCAUGCAAGUUCAAUUUGUAGUCUAGCGCACGAUGAUGGUAUGGGAUUUUCUUUUGAAACCGGAAAUUUAUCCAUUUGGUUGAUGCUGAUACGUCCUGACAUUUUUUAUGACAGUGACACAAAAAUAGUUGUUGCAUGUAGCUUGGAACCGUUCUGGAACGUUGAUGGCCAAGAUUUGACUCCAAAAAAAAAAAUGUAAGAUUCAGAUUUCAUCUUGCACAUAAUUUUUUACACUAUGUGUGGAAUCCACAAAAUUUUAUUCUAUAGUUAUACGCUGUGUAAAAUGAGUUACAUCGUGUGUAAAUUAAAUUAAAUCUUGUGCAAAAUGCACAAAAUCGCUUCGGACGAUUUUUCUGUUAACUGUUCCUGCCCUCGUCCAGCUGGCUUGGUCUCGAAAAAGCAUUCUCGUCUUCUCAUACUAACUUCUUGCAUCAGGUUUAGCAGUAAGGGACUGAUAUUGGUACGUACCCUUGGAGAUUGUUUCUUUAAAGAGCAAGCUACAAAAAUUACAAAUCGAAAGAGAGCAAAAAGGAAUAGAAUUCAGAGUUCUAAAGUCUUUGCGUAUUCUAAACUUCAAAUUCAAAAGAAAUACCUAAGGAAAGGCAGGUUCGUUGUAGCACAGCACUUGUCGGACCACGAAUUGAUUUUGAUCAAAUACUUUUUAAGUCUAAAACAAAGAGAACGAAACAUAAACUUUUUAAGUGUGUUGCAGAGAAAGUUGUAACUGCAUCAUGGCACAAGGAACUGGUUGAUUUCUCAUAUUUCUUAACCUUUCUUUUUCGGAAAAGAUUAUAGUGAGGGUUGGACUUUUUAAUGUUACCCAGUUUCAUUGAUUUUUUUUUUUUUUUUUUUUUUUUUGAGACUGCACCAACAGAAUGCCAUAAUACUAUGAUGAAUGCAAACGACUCGUGGGCCGUCUCUCCGUGGUUUCAGAUUUUCAAAGCCCAUUUUCUUUGGGCUCUAAAGUUGAUCUGCUUUCUCGUGGCGGUCACCAAGUCAUUGCGAAGAUCCAGUUAGUUGCAAUGCUUUGCGCGACGAAAAUCUUCAGUGGGCUACACCCAAAUGUGCAGGCUGGCCGCUCCUGAAAUGAAUCUACACGUGACUUGACUUGCCCCUCCAAAAGCUUGAAGCCUAGUUUCCCCAAAAUAAAAGAACAACUUACUAAUUUUUUGGUUGAAGACCAAGGGACUCGUUAAAAUAGAUUUUGCUUCUUUUCUUUUCAAUUUUUUUAGGAAACUUUUUUUUUUAAGCUUUUCUUCAGGAAACUUUUCAUAAAUGAACUGUACUAGUACAGGCAAGGUUACUCCUUUUCUAUUUUAAUUUCUUUUAGUAAGGAAAGAAUAAAACUUAAGAAUAAGUAGAGGAGAGGAGGAUUAAAACUUAGGAUCUAAAUGCUAAGAGGGAAAGCUACUCUAACUAACAUACAACAUGAUUUUUUAGGCUCUGUCAUGCAUUAAUAAGUUUGAGACAUGUCGUUUGGAGGGGUAGGCAAGGCUGAAAAAUAAACUACAUUACUCGAUACUUGAAUUGAGUUCAAUUACAGUUCACUCAAAUUUGAUUCACCAAUCAGUCAAAUGAAACAUGAACGACAUCUCCGUUCCACAAAGUUUCAAGCGUAACUAUUAGCAUGCAUCGUAAAAUUUAUAUGUAAACAAUUCAAAUUACUUGAAAUUAACGCAAAUUCAACUCAGAUAAAAGUUCGUUUAAGUUCCAUUAGAUAAAUAAACAAGUCGAAUUUAAAUAUAAUCCCAAACGCGUCGAAAUAAUAAAAAAAUUUAUUGUGCUCAUUUACAACCUAGGAGCAGAAAAGAAGCCAUCUUGUGCUUCUCUUUUGUCCUUAAAUUUUUGUAAUCUUUGGCAAUAUGGAUGAGGGCGAAAGUGCUAUUCUGCUAGAACUCCUCUUUGUAGAUUGACAUUUGCACAAGGCUGCAUGAUGCUAAAUUUUUGGCCUAGCACCAGCAGUCUCUGUCUCUGUACUGAGCAGCUGUACAUAUUAGGGUGCCAUGGCGUCACAAAAUCGAGGCAAAAGAAAACUUUUAAAGUACCAGACCUCAGAACUCAGAAGCAGGUACGAGAGUAUCACAUGUUCCUCAAAUAAUCCGUCUACGUUAGCCAGUGUUCCACUUCACGGCUGUUUCGUCAAAAGGACAAAAUACACUAUGGAUACGGUUGCAUGAUGGUGUGCAUAUGUCUGUAUAUGUUAAGUGUGGAUGUGAUCCUGUUCCUUCUUCCCUUACUUUGCAAAAAGCAGUUUGAUCUUUGCUUAAAUUUGGACAAAUGAUGACUCGGCCCACAUGAAAAGGACGGUACUAUUAGCACCUCUGUUCCCUGAGCACUUGCAUGAUAAGUUGCUUUUCUUCUAUAUGGGCACAAAUUUUGAUUCUCUUUAGCUGCGUUUCUUCUACUCCUGACCCCCCUCCUGCUGCAUUCCCUGCCUUUCGUUUCUAUCCAGUUCUCUUGCUUGUUUAUUAAUAUUCAGCCAAUUACAAUCCGCUUGAUAUAUUUAGGGUGGGUUCUCGUUUGAUAAGUACACACAAUUUCAGAUUAUUUUGAAAAAUCAGUUUUGUUCUUGUGUUGGUGCUCGCCUUUGUGUUUAGAUUUUAGAAUUUUUUUCGGAUGGACAAAAAAAAAAGUUAAAAUCUAUUAGAAUCUAUCAUGGUUGCAAACGAGCUGAAUCGAGUUUUGACUCAAUAAAACUGGCUUAAUUUCAGCAAGCUUGAACUCGAGUUCGAUCGGCUCAUGAACAGCUCGACUUGUAUGCAGUCCUAGAAUCUAAUCAAUGCUGGAUUAUGCUAAUUCUAAUUAAUUAAACUCUUUUAGCAUAAUCUAAAGAUAAAUGAUACUCCAAGUAUCAGUUAAUUCCGAAUGAAGUAUCACAGAAUUGGAGUGCAUAUUCAUUAGGCCAAUUAGAUCACAAACCUAGGUUGCAUUAAAUUUUUUUUUUGAAAAAAAAAAAAAAAAAGAUGCAUCUACCACCACCACUUAUUCGUGGCAUCUAGAUCUAUCUUUAACGAUAUGAGAGCCUUCCUCCAUUUUGAAAGCUUCCCCGUUACAAGUAAUAACGAAUGAGUCGGGGAAAGAGGUGGUCAGAUUCAUUGCAAAAGAAUGGCCUGUGGAGUUUAGAUUGACAUGUUGGUUUUUAUAUACAUUCUCUACACAUAAAACUAAUUAUUUGACUCUGGAAGAAGAGACAUUUAGGAGACAGGCAGGGCAAAAGAUGCAGAGCAAGGCAGUGUUGAAUCUUGACCAUUCUCUGUAGUCAAAUUGGUUGCAAAACUUAUUAGCUAACUGAAAUCUCCAAUUUGUCGACCAAAGUCGCACGUCACAGCUGGCUUGAGUUGGCUUGUCCAAGGAAUUAAAUAACCGUUGAGAAAGGAUGCUGGUGGCAAUUCUAUCAUAGUCAUCGUCAAUGGAGCUGAAUUUUGUGGAACUUUUCUUGAGUUGAGUCUAAUUUCUGAUGGUUUUUCUGUAUUAAAUGCAAUAAGAAUCUACCAAGGAUGGAACUUUGUGGUUAUGCAUGAACUUGUGCCAUUAGCCACUAGGUGUCUCCCAGCAUAGAUCAUGGAUGCCUUCUCUGAGUGACCCAAGUCUUGAUGAAGAUGAUUUCACACCGCAGAGAUGGUCCACCCACAUAUUCUCCUCUCUUAUUAGCUAGCGGCAUUAACAUGCCUGAGUAAUGGGCUGUCACUGUUCACACCUAAAUUCUUAAAUGAAAAAUCUGUCACUUCGAUUUUCUUCCUUUGCUUAGUAAGUGUCUAUCUGUUGCCAAGGCCAGUGCCACAAAUACUGAGUUUUCUCAAACUCUCAUUCACACUCAAUACUGUGUUUAUAGAAAUUAAACACCGCAUCUUUUCUUGUCUCUAACACCAUAGCAUGUCACAUGUCCUAUAUUUGGACCUUGUGCUUUAGGAGGUGAUUGAGAAAUUAUAUCUAGAAGACUCAUAAAUAAAACUUUGCUCCACAGCAGAAAGCAUCAACCUUCACGUAUAUUCAUGUAGAAUACUAUAAGUAGUUGCGGUUCUUCUACAACGAAAACUAAACAAGAGAAAGGCCUUGGAGAGUUGGUUUGCUUAUCUAAUGCUGGCUGUUUCUUUUGUAUCCUGACUAAAAAUGAAUACUUCAUACAGCCUGAACCCUUUCAACAGAAAAUUUCUUGAGAGUCAAAGUUUACUUACAAGAGUGGAGAAGAUUAUACAUUUCUUGCAUCAUGUAUCUAUAGAUGUAUACACAGACCCAAUGACUAACCAAUGAUAACUAUGUAGAGGAAGGAACUAAACCAAAAUUUAUUCAUGUUUGCAGUAGGUACCUGAAACUGAACUCAUACGGCACAAUUUCAAGAAAUUGUGACAGAGGCUGAUUUCUCUCCCUAUCAAGGCAGCUAAUCGCUUCUUUUCCAAGUUCAAUCGGUAGUUGAAGGCAUAUCCAAUCAACCAGCGAGUCCAAGUCCUUGGCAAAAUCAAGCAUAUACCAAUCCAAUAGUUUUGGAAUUGCCACCACCUUCUUUGUAGUUGAAAUGCCAACUGUGGCCUGCAAGUACUCCUUUUUAGCCACUUCCAGCUCAUUUUCAACCUCAGCUGCUGUGUACAUUCUCACCUUGAUUGAGAAAGCAAACCUCAUCAUUAACAGCAUAGGCAUGCUAAAAACUUAAUAAUGCACUGAUGUAAAAACUAAAAUUCUGCUGAUUGAUAAAACGUUACUUCAAAUCAGCAUUUUCGAGUCUCAAAUCUUAUACACACCUCAGUACACUAGGCAAGAUGUUGGCAAAUGCAAAUUUAAGACAAUUGCAGUCAACAAUACAUAUUGGCAGGAGUCAACAAUAGUUUUCCCAAGUAAUCUACACUUCCAAUUGAGGAUGACUAAAUGAAUUCUGUCUACUCUGUGCACUAACUUACAGCAGGUGAAGACCAGCUACCACAGGAAAGAGCAAAUGUAACCAGUGGUUCUGAUAAUUCCAAUCCAAAAAUGCUACGUGCUGACAUUUCCUCAUUUUUGGCCCCUUUUGCAAAAGUCUGAAAAGACACCACCAUAGCCAGAUAAAACAUAAGCUACUUUAAAUUUUACUUCACAUAAUGCUGGUACUUCUGUCUGAUAAAGACUCAUCUUACAUAUUUUGAAUGAUAUGGCAGUCUGAGUAUGAAAUGCUCAAUAGUUAUCGCAUUGAGAAAAUGACCUCCAACAUUUAUGGUUGCCUGCAUUAUAAGAAGCCAAGUAUCACCAAGAUAUGCAUAGUAUUUCAUCUAUAUAGAAAUAUCAUUUGAGAUUAUGUAUCAAAUUUGUUAUUGAAUAUUGUUGUGAAGGUUAUGAGACAAAAGAGCUUACAUCCAUAUACACUUCUGAUGCAGAUAAUGCAUGUAAGAAAUAACGUUCAGUUUUUGUAGGUCAUUCAAAUCUUUGAACAUGUUAUUCUGGUAACUAAGCUUGUAUAAAUUUUUCUUUCACAUAAUGCAUUAAAUUCCAUUUUCCUUUUGCUUUUCCUCAAGAUCAUUUUCUUCUCCUCCCCCCCCCCCCACCAACUCAUGAUUACUGCAUUCUUUACAUUUUGAGAAGGAAAAAAACUCUUAGAUUACACAAAAAAGGACAAGACAUCUCAAAUAGAAAUACCUUUUGCAUCAAUGCAACUACCAUUUCAGGACUCUCUGGUAUUCCAUGUUCAAGAUAUGCCUGAAUCAAGGUAGUAAAGAACUUACACAUCAAUUACUUAAAUUGAGCACGUGUAAACAUACAGGUGGUAUAGAAAGUUUUAUCUAGUGCGUUUCAUCUAUUUUCCUCUUUUGGGAGUAGGAGAAAUGGUGUUCUGCAUAUAGAACCAUGAUGCAUAUAGGAAAUGAAUGCUGAAAUGAGAUUUAGAUAGAUUCUGCAUUAAUGCAUGUAGAAUCUCACACCUACAUUCAUCAUACAAGAAUUGUAAAUGUUGAUCCAGAAAGCAAGCUUCUCUUGAUGAGUGAGGCCUUUUAAAUCAACUGAUGAUAAUUUCUCAAGUAAAACCCUGAGAACCAAGGGAGACGAGACAUGUAAGAGCACCAGUAAAAGUAUGAAUGAGUAAUAAAGUUUAGAACUGAUUAUGACAGUAACUUACUUUAGUCUAUGAAGUAGGAACACGGAUACUGUGGUUCGGUUUGGAUUGAUAGAGCUUGCCUCUAUAGCAAAUAAAUGUUUAUAUGGACCAAUAUCUCUCUUGCCAAAAUCUGAGCAGAUACCAUAUGGAUCCUUAAAAUCUGCAUCCUCAAAGCCCUCACAAGAACUCAAUGUAGACAGUGAAGGUAAUGAAUCUGCUAUGCUUCCAGUCCUUUUGGAGUUCAUUCUUAAGAAAAUGCUCAAUAAGCAUUUCAAAAUGCUUUCGGAAAUUUUGUUUGGAUUGUCAGUUGCUGAUGAUUUUUCAUCACCAGGAACAGGAGUCCUCCCUUUGCACUCAUGGUCCAUAUCUAACUGAAAAUUUAGAACCUGUGGUCAUUUGAUUGGACAUAUAUCUCAUAGAUUUACAAAGAAAGAAUGAAGUAAGCACCUGUAAUUUCUUGGGUUCUAAGCGCUUGUCUGCUGAUCUGGACUCGAAUGGAGGCCUUUUAACAGGAGUUCUGACAGUUGGUGCUUUGAUACUUGGAGGUUUCUGCUUAUUCUUUGUUGAAUUAGCGCAAAAAUCAUUUUCUUUUCCACGUGCAUCAUCUGAAAAAUCAAACAGAGGCAACAGUUUCUUCUAGUUGUCCUAUCCAUUUUUGACAAGGUAAAUGGGUGAAAGUAGGUAUAGGCAUGAGGUAAAGCCAAAACAACUUGAUCAAAGUAUUACCUGUGAGAAAUGUUAAAUGCCUCCCUCUGGAUACUAUGGAAUUUUCUUCAGCUUGAAUUGACAACUUAGACUGCUUUUGUUUCCAAUCAUUCGUUUGGUACUGGUCACAUACAUCAUGUGAAUUGUCCGUGUUCCUCUUUGACGAUGAGAUGUACACUGCUUCCUGAUACAAUCCUUGCCUGAACUGCACAACUUGCUCUUCAAGCCGAACGACCUCCUCUUCCAAAACAGCAACUUCGGCAAGCAGCUCCAGUGUCUACACAUAUCCAUCUUAGGCAUUCAGGUCACAUUUGAGAUAUUAAAACUCCAUGGAAUUUAUCAAUUUCUUACCAUGACAGGAAUUUUUCAGUAUACAACCAGUUAACAGUAAAGGUAGUCUCACACAGCAGUUGCAUGGUUGCAAUUUCACAAUGAAAUCAAGAGUUUUGUUAUUUAUUCAACUACAUUCUCCCUUCAUGCCUCAACUACAACAUUUAAUUUCACUGUUUGUAAUGCAGUACCUUACUGCAUAUCACAAAUACUUAUCCAGAAAACAGAAAAGACUGUUCCUAUCUCUCCAUAAACAGUAGCUAGUCUGAAAUUCAUCCUCCACAUUGGAAAGGAAAGAGUUUUUUAGAUCAGGCAGAUAAAGAGAAAGAGAGACUAACAUGAGGAGGUAGAUAGGGGGGAAGACGAGGCAAAGCUCCAAGAGGUCUGGUGAAUGCCCUUUCCAAAGCUCUGUGAACAUUUUCUUCUUGUCUGAGUUUUCUCUUCAACUUGUCAACCUAAAAUUCAAAAAUUAGUACCAAAUUGUGAAAGGUUAAAAUGCAGAAUUGAUAAUUAAAAACCUACAUCUUGCUGCAAUGCUUUCUUUCUUUCUCGGAUUGAUACUCGUCUUGUGGUUGCUUUCUGAGCAUUCAUUAUCCUCUUACCAUGUAUUUCCACUUUUUCCUGCAACCAGUAAGAAGAGAAUACAACUGUCAGCUUCCACAAGAAAAGAAUUGGACAUGGCAUAAUAAACAAAAAAGGACACAUACACAUGGGACAAAAGAAAGGCCAGGAAAGAUCAAAAUCAUUGUGGAUUAGAAGCAAAGCAGGAAACUUUUGAAGCUUUAUUGAAAGAGAGGAUCCAAUCCCACCAUCAAUAGGAAACACAAAAAGUGGAGGGGACAGAUUCCAAUAUCCAAAAUUCAAUAUAAACUCAAAACUAAUCAAGAUUAAGCCAAAGAAAUUCUGUUCCUCCUGCAUUUAACCAACUAAGACAGAGAAUUCAUCUGGAAUUCAUAUGAAAGAUGCCUACUUUAUCAAAAUUUCCAGGAAAUUUCUCCAUCUGAAGCCCUCCCAAUUGGACUUAAGGCCCUAAAAUUCUUAUUCUGGAAAAUUGCCAUUUCUGGAAGAUUCAUGUCAACCAAUUGAUAAACAAAUUGGAUAGAAGUUGUAAGGAGAAUGAAUGGCUGUGAUUAGUACAAGCUGAUAAAGGUAAACAUAGACUGUGGUUACUUUUUCUUGCUUUACAGGAGGUGCUCUCAUAGACUGCACAGCAGUCCUGGCUCUGGUAUUCAUCUUUCUUCAAUCCCCAGAGAAAUCAAUGAAACCUGCCAUACAAUAAAAUCCCAUUUCAAUGCAUCCAAAAAAUAUACAAACAGACAAAAAAAAAACGAAAAAAGACAAUUAGAAUAAGAACAAGGUAAAGGGGAGAAGCAAUAAAUGAAGAUAGCAAGCAAAGAGAGAGAUGGAUGAGAAGAAUGAGACCUUCAGAGGAAUGAAUUCAAUUCAUUGCGGCAGCAGCAGAUGAGCAGAAGAAGCAGAAUUCCGAUAUCCCAGAAGCGGGAAACAGGUGUUGAAUAAUCCAAAAUGCAAAACAAAGGUAGCCUAGAAUCCCAAAAGACAAACAACAACAACUGACUAGAGUACUUGGUAUUUCUGUCUCUCUUGGUCUGUUGAAUGUUCAGUUCAUCCCUGCAUUUCUUGAUCUCCGUGAAGUUAACGCAUUAUCUAAUUAUCUAUCGCCACCCCGUUUCAGCUCUCUUCAGCUACUGGACUACUACUAGUAUACUACUAUCUAUCUAUAUCAUCCCUCGAGAAAAAAGUGCAAAUUUCCACUUCUCAAUGUCAGUGAAACUAGUAUGAAAGAGAGAUAAAUAUACUAGUCCAAUUUGUUACUCCCUCCCUCCCUCUCUCUCUCUCUCUCUCUCUCUCUCUCCAUAUAUAUACACGCGCAGAUACAUAUGAAAGAGAGAGAGUGAGAGAGAGAGAGAGGGAAUUUACAACUGUACUUUCUGGCUAACAUUAAAUUAGUAAUUGAAAAUUUUUAUUUAGAAAUAUUAUGGUGCGGGAAAAUGUACAAGUUAAAUUACAAUAGACAUGGUACAAAACAGUUAAAGAUGCUACAAUCCUAUUCUUCAAAAACAAGUUUUUCAAAUAUAAAUUUUUCUAAAGAUGCCUAGUAAUUUAUCUGUGCAAGAUUUUUUUUUCUGAUCAAAAUAUACAGUGCUAAUAAGUUACAACUAGUGCCCCGGAAGAAUGAAUAUCAAUUUGUGGUAAUCCAGGGGGAGGCAAAAAAUGGUUAAAAAUUAGAGGUUUGGUUAAAUAUUAGAACUGCUCAUUGAUUGUUUAAUUGGUUGCAAAUUGCAAUGACAAAAAUAAGAGGUUAGACAUGGAGUCUCCAGUUUUUUGUUUGUUUCCUAUUUGGCGUCUUUCAAGUAAGGACAGAAAAAUUAAUCAUCAGAAGAGAGAAGUUUUUUUUGGGGGGGGGGGGGGGGGGGGGGGGGGAGGUUGGUCUUCAUCAAUGGCAAUUGACUUCUGCAAUGUGCACCCACUAGCCAGCUCUUGGGGUUUCCUAAAAUGAUGAGGCAGUGAAAUGGAUGUAAGGGUUGAGAAAUUUGGCAAUGGGAUUGAUAAAAAGGAAAGUAGGCAGACAAACCAAUUUUCAGUAAUCAUGAGAUAACGUGCGCUUUCUCUUUUACGUAUCUGGCUCUGCUUUAUGGUUUCUAAUCGGGCAUUUGCCUUGUUAUGGUAAUUCCAGGGUCCCUGAAUAAAAUGUGCAUAAAUUCUUGUUUUGAUCUGACACCUAACAAAACGAGCACCAACUAAGAAAUUUCUUUUGAUUUUACUGCAAUUUGAAGAAUAAGGAAAUUCUAGCAGUCAUUUUUGGCUUCAUUCUGAUGGUAAUAUGUUGAAUUCUCUCUAUAGAGAUAUUAGAAAUGAGUUUAUUGAGUUGCUCUAAACAUUAUUAAUUCACGCUUAUAGUAUAUGCUUUUACGGGUUACUGAGUUUAAUACUUUCCCUGUUUUUAUAGUAAUCCACAGAAUCAAUCUUUAAGUUAUUUUAAAGGGUUUUUCUAACGGAUGUUUUUUAAGCACGCGUUAACAUAACAAAUAUUCAUCUAACUCGCUAUAUAUAUAUAUAUAUAUAUAUAUAUAUAUAUAUAUAUAUAUAUGCACAUAAUAAUAAUUAUUAUCUUGUCUUAUAUUUAUAUACUUUCAUUGUUUAAUUGUACCUACCCUCUCUUGUAUUUAUUUACUUUUCUUAAUUAAUUUUAUAUUUUUAAAAAUAUAACACUUGAAAUAUAUCCGUUACGGGUGCCCUAUGGCACCUAUUAGACAAACUAUACUUUAAAAUGUUAGAAUUACAAAGUGAGCCGGGUUUCUUAUUCUCUCUCUCUCUCUCUCUCUCUUAACUAUAAGUAACUUUGAGGUUUCUUUUGCCGAAAAUGAAAACAACCAGACAAACAAGGAAAUUAAUCCUGCUUGGAUUUUUUAGUUUUUUUUGAGUUUUUAUAGAAAAAUAUAUUGUAAGAAUUUAACGUAUAUAAAGUAAAAAAGUAAUUGAAAAUAUGUUUAGGGAAACACGCAAAAUUUGAUUUAUUUUUAUUUUUUUGUAAAAAGCUACAAUCCGAACAAUGAAAGGCAGGAGAAAGAAAUUAAGAAGAGUGGCGUGGGAGUGGCUGAAAUCUGAAUGCAAAAGCUGCCUAAUCACAUGACUGCCAAUUAAUAAAGUGUUCUGCACUUGAAAAAGAAAAUUUAAAGGCUUUUCAGGGCAUCCCGCAAUGUCCUUACAUUACGUUAACUUUAAGUUUUCAGUACCCAUUUUGUUGAAGGCAAUUCAAUAAUUUUUCAGCCAAUUUUUACGGAGUCAGUCACGUGCUGGUCAGGCAAGAAUAUGUAUUUCAAUUUUUAUACUCCAUCUUAUGGAAAAAUAGUUCAAUUAUGAUUUUUUUUUUUUGGUCAUCUAAAGAAUACUAGAAAUCAAUUGAGCCCUCACAACCCUUGUGGAGGUUUGAUUAUCCCACAUCGGGGUUGGGGUUGGGUUUGGGUUAGGUUAUAAGUCCUCAGGAUGUCCUCAAGAGUUGCCGGCUUUUGAGGAUUGUUCUGGGAUUAGAUUUAUGGUUUGACAAAAAAACAACAACAACGUUGAGAGAAGAAACGCCAGCUUAUCACGGGGAGUGAGGGUCCGAAUAGUCACGGGCGAAAAGAUCCGCGCCGAAGGGCAAGCUCCCUUGUGGAGGUUUGAUUAUCCCACAUCGGGGUUGGGGUUGGGUUUGGGUUAGGUUAUAAGUCCUCAGGAUGUCCUCAAGAGUUGCCGGCUUUUGAGGAUUGUUCUGGGAUUAGAUUUAUGGUUUGACAAAAAAAAAAAUUGAGCCCUCACAAAGCAUAAUACAUCAAGGGUUAUGAUUAGAAAUCCAAAAUGCAACGGUCCAAUUCUAGGGUGCACGAUUAUCAUUCAAGAAUGAGGUGGUUGAGCAUAAUAAAGUUGAGCACAAAGCCAGAAAAAUGGCCUAAAUCCCAAAACCAAAAGUUCAUUCCCAAUCACUUUCACGGCCACACGUUGAUUUGACAUCCACUCAUUUCUUUUAAGUACUCUCUCCGUCCCAUUUGAUAGUUCUGAUUCUUUUUUCAUACAAUUUAAUAAAAAGUAGUUAAUUUUAUUUGAACAAUCAAUUUAGAUAACUAUUUUUCUAAAAUACAUUCACAUUAAUUAGAGUACAACUUUAUGGGAACUUGAAUUGAUGGUAAAAAAAGAACCAACUCUCAUUAAAUGGGAUAGGUUUAUAGUAACAACAACUUACAUUGAAUAAGGGUAUUUUAGGAAAAUUAAAAUACAACUACAUUUUUCAAUUAGAAAGUGGACUAUAAUUUGGGAUAGACGAAAAAAAAAACAAGACUUAUCAAAGUGGAACGGAGGGAGUAUCAAAAUUGCCAGAGCAGGUGGUGAUUAAGCGAUCAAACAUGAUCUUCUUAUUUAAAGACAUUUUGUUUGCUUCCUUGAUUUCAUAUCUCUGGUUUAGUUCAAAUUUAUGAGUUUUUUUAUAGAUCAGAUGUAUCAUUUGACUUUGAAAUCUAUAUGGAUCUUUGUCAUAUUUGAUGUAUUUGCUACCAUUAACACAGAUAUCGGAAUGAUAUUAUGAUUUUAUACCCAAAAAAAAAGACAAUACAAUAAGCCAAAAAGUGAUUCGAAUAUUAUUUUUGGCUUAAUUUUUCACAAAGUUUUUUUCUUGUAGAGAUGAACAUAAGUCUUAUUAUAUUUUAUUCCUAUGAUUUAUCCUAGUGAAAGAGGGGAUGAUAAAUACACAUGGAAUUAAAAAUUCAGGGGUGGGAAACCAUGAUGGUGGAGGGUCGAGGGACAGACAGCUGAUGAUAGUUUAGGAUUAUGAAAUAGACGUCCCACUUACAGCCACGUGAGAAUGACUCCUACGACCACAAUUAACACAGUACAAUUUGUAAUUAAGGUUUCGUAACCACAACACUUGAUGUUUCUUUUUUUAAAAAAAAAUAAAAAAAGAUCAUUUCAUUCAAUAAAUCUGUAUUAAUGACAGAAACACGUCAAAUCAAAUAUGACACAUAUACGUACGGAUAUAAAAUCAAUAGAUGCAACAAAUUUGAAAAUUCUUAAUUAGUGAGUUGGGCGUCUAAUGUUCGUUCAUUUAGUAUCUAACAAUGACUCCCACCGGAAAAAAAAAAAAAAAAAAAAACUCAACCCAUCUUAGACAAUUAGACAGUAGAUGAUUACUUGUAAGAAACUAAGAAUUGACAUUACGCACUUGAUUCCAGAUUUUAUUUACAUAGACAGUGACUUCAAACGACUCUUUAGAAGAAAAAAAAAAUCACACUGUCAUUAUUUUAAUAAGAAUCAAAAGAAUUGUUUAAUUUUGUUUUUGUAUGCUUUUGUUUUAAAUCGCUGUUUUAAUUUAUCAUGCAAUGAGCGCUUGCCAGCUAAUAAAUCCGGCAAGAGACAAUUGAAAAGGCAAAGGAUUUAAAAAAUAGGUAGUAGAUCAAAUGUGACGCUUUCGUCUAAUUAUGGGAGAAAAAUAGGUCAAAACAUCAUUAUCACCGUGCACGGUAAGGUUUUGUGAUUUAGGAACACCCAUUAAACUACUGUUAUCAAUAAUGCGCGGAUUAAAUUACUGCAUAGUUGCUUUCUCAUUCAUCAAUCCUUAAUUAUUGUCCUAUCAAGAGCAUAUGAAACCAAGUAGCCAAUAAGUACGGUCUUGUAAAUUGUAAUUAUGGAUGCGUCAAGAAUAAUGCACGGAAAGUAUAUGGAUUAAUCUUCUAUACACUAACAGUGCAUGCACUUUCACCAUUAAAUACAUGACAUAUAAUUUAAAUUUUGCAUAUGUGUCAUGCAUCCAACCAUGACAGUGUAUACACUGUCAGUGUAUAUAAGAUUUAUUCAAACUAUAUAUGGUUUUUCCCAACUUCAUCUUUGUGUUAUACUCUCAAUUUUUUGAUGUCUGAUUUAGAUUGUGAAUUCUGUGCAAGCGAAAAAUGUGAAGAGAAUGUUCACAUUUAGUCUUUUUCUUUUUCAAAAUUUUAGCACAAAUCAAGUUUUUCUUUUUUUUUUUUUCGUUCCUUGAUCAAUAAGCAGUAGUGUAUAAUUUUGUUGAAUAAUAGCUGGAAGAUUCUUUUGUUAUACUUAAAUUGGUUUUUCGCAUACAAAAUUUUUUUUUUUCCUGCGAGUUGGUAAGAGCUUUUGGUUUGCAGUUUAACCAAUUUGAUCAAUUCAAUUUCAGUUUUAAAUUUUAAUCAUUUUUAUUUAUUUUGGUAUUAAAAAUUUAAAUACAAAUGAAAAUUUUUUCCCAAAAGAUAAAGAUUUAGUGAAUUCUAGUUGAACUUUCUGGUUUUACUUGGUCCAAUCAGUUCUUGACCGAGUUUGAUGGAUUUAAUUGAAUUUUUAGAUUAACUAUUAAAAUAGACCACAAUCAGUACUUUCUGGUUUUCAAAACAUUGGUUGUUAGGAUACAUAUUCUUUGAGUUGUUUAAUGACUAAAAUCAUGAAUGAUUUAAUUAAGGCUAACUCCACUUUGCAUUUCCCAAAUUUGUACUACUUUUAACUUUACACCUUAAAUUUCAAUUUCUAAUACUUUACACCCUAAAUUCUCAAUUUUAGAGACUUUACAUUCUAAACUCUCAAACUAAUUCCAUUUAAAUCCAAUCAACAAUAAAAGUAGCAAAAUUAAUAGAACAAAAAAUCACAAAAGUCAAUGACGGUGUCCUUAAAGUGGUCAAAGAUCAAAGGGAACACAACUAAAACAAAAUAAUACAUUGUUGUUUAUUUGAACUGUCUUUUAUCUCAUUAAUUUUGUUAACAAUAUUAGUUAUUACAUGGAACAAACUUUUACCAGUUUGUUCUAGUCAUAAUCCCUUUGAUCUUUUUGAUCAUUCUCAACAUAUUGUCAUUAAUAACCGGAGAAUUUAUAAUAUAAAGUAUCUCAAAUUGAGAGUUUAAUGUGUAAAGCGUCUAAAAUUAAAAAUUAAAGUUUAAGAUGCAAAAUGAAAAAGUUGCACGAGCUGAGAGGUACAAUGUGGAAUUAGUACUCUGUUUAAGUGCAAACCUGACUUGAAGUAGUGGCCGUACAUGGAAAUACUAAGCGUUGUGGCACUAUGCCUUGAGUAAUCGACAUUGAACUUGAAGUACAACUGUAGAAGGAAAAUAAGUGCUAAUGAAUUUGUACAUGCCAAUACUAUACCACCAUGUUCUUACAGCGAUAUAGUACUUCAAUUGUAGCGACCUUCAUUUUCAAUGAUAUCUGUAAAGCCAGCCUCUUUUUUUUUUUCUUCUUUUUUUUAGUACUAUUGGCUAUAAGAGACUUAGCAGCUUAGGACCACUACUAGUAGCACAUAAAACGAAUUGAGAAGGGUCUAAUGUAAUUUCAAGUGUGUUUGGAUAAUAAAUUAUUUGAGAUAAUUCUGUGAAAAAAAUAUUAUAACACUUUUUUGAUGUGAUGUAGGUAGAUGUGGGCAUAAUUAUCCGCUAACCUGAAAACUCGUCAUAUCUGAUCCGAUCUGAUCUGAAAAUUAGGAUAUUCGAUAUUUGAUCGGGUCAAAAGAGGGUCGGGUAUCUGCUAAGAUGCGGGGCGAGUUAGGAUUACAUAAUUAAAAAUUCGCGGAUAUCCGAUCUGCCCCGCAUAUAUAUAUUUUUUAUUUUUAUUUUUAUUUUUAUACACACACUAUAAAAUAAUAAGUUAGAACUAAAUAAGUAAUUUUAUUGAACAAAUUGCAUUACAAAUAUGAGAGACUACAGUUUAUUUACAAGAUUCAUUUGUAAAGGUCAUGAUCUUAUAUUUUAUAGAAAAAAGUUCAAUUAAUGUGGAACAUAUAUAUUAAAAAUUGUGCUACUUAUUUCAAACUUUUAUUGAUUUUGAAUUUUUUUAAUUUUUUUCUUUUAUCUUAUAUUCUCUUCAUAUGCUUGUUUCUUGGUGGGAAACCUUUUUUUAGAAAAAAAAUUAUUAAAUCUUAGAUGAAUGUGUAAAAUAUAAAUUUAAGUUGGUAUAAAUUAUUUUUUUAAAAAAAUUAAAUGAUAAACAGCGCGGGACGGGUAUCCGCUGGUCCGACCCUAUCUUAACGGAUACCCUACAAACGGUAUCCGUUGAUAUUCGGGGCGGGUAAGGGCCAGAAAAUGGCUGACCCGUAAAGUACGGACCGAGUCAGCCAAAUGGUGAAUGGGGCGGGUACUCGACCCGCGCCCACCCUUAGAGGUAGGUAAGAUAAAAGAGUGAUUGAAAAAUGUGUUGAUAAUAUAAGAAAGUCAGUAUUUAAAUACGGUGUAAAUAAUGUGCAUUCCAAAGUAACAGUUGACGUGAAAAACAAAAGUUGCUUAAACUUGUCAUGGUUUAAACAAAUAAAUUUCGGCUAGUAAAUUUUAAGAAUUUUGAGCAAGCGAGAAAUUUGCUAUGCAACCAACCAAAAAAAAACAAUAUAAAAUCCACAUAAGAAAGCUUUUAAUGCUGAGAACUGAACUUAGAGGAAUUGAUGCUUUAUAUUGUAGUAUACUAGUAUCACAAGUUGCCAAUCAAUAUCCAUUCAAUAUAUAACCUUAGUUAAUAGAAAUCUCCAACUCCUACUCGACCUACAUCUGUACUUGACAACGUAGAGAUGAGAAGGCCAUGUUCGUGUAAAAUGGCAAACAUGCAUCAAUGCACAGUGUUCACCGACGCAAAGAAACGGUGGUGUUUCACUUACUUGUGUUCCACCCGACAGAGAUGCUUGUCCUCCUCUCGACACACGAAAUGUCGAUCUCAAGAAAGCCAGCUAAAUUUUCCAAGUCAAUACUCCUUGCUCUCACCACCAAUCUGGGACUCGGGGCAGGGACGGUUGCAGGUGGCAAAUUCCCUCUUCAUCAAUAGCGUGUAACUUCUUUUGUUCACCGUGUAACUUUUUUUUCACAGAUUGUAUUUUCACAACACAUAGUGGUGGGCUCCACACUUGGCGCGAAAAUCGAGUUACCACUUGUUAUCUGAGCCGCACAUUUUUUUAUGGUCCAAUCUGGACCAUGAACCGUGAUGACCGUCCCUGCCCCAAAUCCACCAAUCUGGCUACUAUAGUACUACUUUAUUAUGCUGCUUAAUAGAGCCAGGCUACAGUUUUCAAUUAUUCAAGUUAGAUUGAUUGAUUGAUUGAUAAUAAUGGUUUGCAAUUUGCUUCACUUUGUCCAAAGUCUGCAGAAAUGCAAUCUCAACAGUAACAGGGGGAAUAAAUUAACUCUUCUCUGAACCCAGCUCAGAGCAAAAGUACACCUCCAGUUGUAGCAUCUGAUCACCAUAAAUAAAUGAAGGAACGCGAACAAAUUAAAUGCAGAUAUUUUCUUCUUGGCUCUCCCUUGUAAAAAUACUUUAGUAGUACCCCUUUCUUCAUUUUCUCUUCCUUGUUACUUACCAAAUGCUUGCCGAGUUACCAAACUAACCUAGUGGAAAAGAAGCUUCAAUUAAAUACAAGCAGUAUAUGAUUUGUUACUCUACAACGUGGCACUACUUGUUUUCAAAACGAUCAAUUCCCAAUGACAGCAAAGGAAAAUCUUUCCUUUCCAUCUUUCUGUUUAUGUCCCGCGGGGUACCAACAUGGCAAGUAAAAUGUCAUGGAUCAAUUACCAAAAUAAACGAAACUGAUAUUUCUCCCAUGAUUUGACUCGUUCUCUGUUAAUGUUUCUUUUCAUGGUCCAGAUCAUGCUCUAAAGUAUGAUAUGCUGUUAACACAAUCCAAACACUUUAAACCACUCUAAUUGGACAAUAAUUCUUAGUAGUAUUAUUAGAUAGUGAUCAUCAAUCAGGUAUAAGCGCUUUUCAUUUGAUUUGAUUCCUUAGGAGGCCAUUCAUUUCUAUCGAAUUGGAAAAAAGAACAUCAAACUGUUCUUCGAACCUUUUAGUUCUCAAAUCCAAUUAUUAAAGCUAAAGUGAGGAAAAAAUGUUUGUGCGAAGAAUCCAUCUAAAGGGUCGUAGGAACUUUGGCAACUUACCAAAACUAAUAUGUUGCAGUCGCAAUUAAAAAGGAUACACAGCUAUAAAUGCCACUACGGCAUACUUUACUAGUUCAUGCUUCACCAUCUACAUUUUUUAACAUUCUCAUGAUUGAUCAGAAGAAUUGGACUAAAUUUCGAAUUGGGAGACCAAAGGAAACCAAUAAUAAAUAUAAGUUUACAGGAUUUUUUUUUUGUUGGGGGGGGGGGGGGGGUUGGGGGUAUUUGACCCUUCACCAAAACCAUCGCCUGCAAUUAAGAUUGGAUCUGAAAUUUCUACUUGUUUGGUCCUAUUCUGGAAGGUGUAUCAUUAGAUACAGAUAAAGAUGAUGAAUUGAUGAUGAUGAUCCUCCCAAUUCCAAGAGGACCACGAGGACCAUACAUACAAACACGAGUGAGUGUUACGGAUGCAGGAUCAAUUGUUGCUGUUAAAGUUUCCUCAAUGUGGGGACUCUUCUUUAUUUGCUUUCUUUCUUUCUUUUUCCUUUCUAGUACCUGACGAGACUCCUCUCCCCUUUUUUUUUUUUUGCUCCCUCUCUUUUGACAUGGUGAAAUUUGUGUCAUAGUCAUGCUACCCAAAUCAUUGUACCUCAUCCAUUUAAAGCUUAUUCACUUCUAUCAAUGUAUUUCUUCGUCUUUCAAAUCAAUUAUCUUAUCGGCUUAUCCCCUUACAGUACGAAAUAGUUUUUAAUAAUUAGACAUACACCACUGAAAACAUUUUUGCAGCACAAUCUCCCCCCACGACAAUUAACGGACUCAAAGAAUACAUGGAAUCUAAUGAGAAACCUUAUCACAGCUCAGCAACCCCGUCAACCACCCCUUUUUUUUUUUGUGGUAAAAUAUACUUUAACCCCUGCGAUUUAGUAAUUUUUCAUAUAACUUCUCCAUAAUUUUAAAAACUAUAUGUAACCUCAUUGUAGUUUAGACUGAAGUGUCAAUGUGAUAAAACUGAUCCUCUAUAACGGAAUCCAAAGAAAUAUUAAGAACAUCAUUGUUUAAAAACUAAAAUAAUUUAAAGCAAUCAAAAUAUAUAAACUUAAUACGUAUGAUACUUUAACUCCUUAUGGUUAUGUGUAUAUUACUACAUAACUUUUUAUGAUUUAGUGUUUUAUCAUAUAACUCCCUUAUGAUUUUCAAAAUAUAUACAUAACCCUUCUGUGAUUAAUUAAUAAGUUUCAACUUCAUAAAAGGAUACUUUUGACAUUUUAAUUGACUUCAUUAUGGAGUCAAUUAAAAUGUCGUGACUUUCACACUUUAGUCCAAAUUAUGAGGGGGGUUAUAUAUAGUUUUUGAAAUCACAAGAAAGUUAUGUGAAAAAAUACUACCCCUUUUUUGUUAAAAAAAAUUUCUUAUUGCAUGGUCUAGGUUAGACAUUAAAAUAGUUUAUUCUUUGGAUUAACUUUUCUUAUAUUGAUACAUAAGUAUAACGCCAGUAAAUUUUAAUACAUGGCACAUAUCUAUGCAAGAAGGUUUCAUCUUUAUUCUUAACUAAGUAACUUUCGUGCCCUGUAACACGGUCUAUGUGAUAUCAAAAAAAAAAAAAAAAAAAAAAAAAGAAAGAAAGAAAAGUCGAUGUGAAUAUUUUGCAAAUAAAAGGUCACCCUUGGGUAGAAAUUUACAGAAACUCCCCAAACGCUCCUCUCGUGCACUAGAUUAGAGGCCUCUCAAGUUGAAAUCUGUACCAUUCAAACCAAUUGGAGUAAUUUCUAUAAUUUCUAGUGUAAAAUCAUAAAAUUUGGGUAUAAACUUAUAUUUGUUAACACAUACAACUGAUUUGUCGAUCACACCAAAAUUAUACCAGUUGAUACCAAAUGUGUAGAAUCCAAAAAUUCUAACAAAAAUAUACGGGAGAUAUAUUUCAUAAAAUCAAUGCAUAUAGAGAGGCAAUUUACAUACAUAAAAAUAUAUGUGGGAGAAGAGAAAUAAUAUCAACAAUAAUUUAUUAAUCACUUCAUAAGAACAAAACUCUCAAUUCUUCUCAAUUCUUCACUUUUCUCAACUAAACAUAAUAAUAUGACUCCCCAUUUAUAAACUAGAUGAUUUGAUAAACAAGUCUUACAACCAUAAGAAAUUUUCUAAUAAGAUACUAAUUUCUAAAUAAUAAAACUAACAUAACUUGACUCUAAUAGAAUUACUAAAAUCUUAACUUGACUAAAACUUACUAAAUAACAAUAUAAAAUAUUUCUAAUUUUGAUUUGAUUUAAUAUGCCAACAUUGCCUCCCUAAAAUCAAGUUCUCUUUUGGAUCAGGUUCACCAUCAUCACAGAGAGAUCAGGUUCACCACCGUCACAAUCAAUAAUCUCUCUUGAUUUUCGCUGCAAUAUUCCACGUACCUGGACAAAUUUAUCUUGUUGCUCAACUUUUUAUUUGCGAAAAUAAUUUAAGCUUCUAGAUAGAUUGUUUUCGUCACCCAAUUUGAUGUCAAUUUAUUGAUAAUUCAUUUUGUGAUUUUCAUAAUCACAAUUCAACUGAUAGGAUUAUUCUUCGAUCUCUGCUGUAACAUCCGCAAUCAAUCAAUCUGACAAUUCUCAAACCAAUCUUAUGGUCCAAUCCUCACAGACUAGACACUCCGUGACCAACCUUGUGGUCUAAGUCGAUCAACUAAUUUUUUCGCAAUAAUUUUUGUACUCUAAUUCUGACAGCGAAAAAGUCACAAUUAACCCUUAUAAUCGGGUCAAUUCUUCAAUGUCUACAGGCACCGCAGCAUCAAUUUCUUCAAUGUCUAGGGCUCUGAUACUAGAUUUAGAAUCCAAAAAAUCAACCCAAAAACUUAUUGGAGAUGUAUUUGAUAAAAUCAAUGUAUAUGGGGGGAGGCAAUUCACACACAUAAAAAUAUGUGUGGGAGAAGAGGAAUAAUAUCAACAAUAAUCUAUUAAUCACAUCAUAAGAACAAAGCUCUCAAUUCUUCUCAAUCUUUCUCAAUCCUUCACUCUUCUCAACUAAACAUAAUAAUAUGACUCCCUAUUUAUAAACUAGAUGAUUUGAUAAACAAGUCUUACAACCAUAAGAAAUUUUCUAAUAAGAUACUAAUUCCUAAAUAAUAAAACUAAUAUAAUUUGACUCCAAUAGAAUUACUAAAAUCCUAACUUAACUAAAAUUUACUAAAUAAUAAUAUAAAAUAUUUAUAAUUUGAGUCUUGAUUUAAUAUGCCAACAAAAUGUAGUAAUAAUUAUGCUAACCGAUUUAAAUUGGAUAGAUUUCAACUUGUGGACCUUGAAUCCUGAUCCCUCAUGCACCCCUCAGAUAAAAAUUAAUUCUAGAGAGGAGGAGAAGAAAAAGAAAAAAAAAAAAGGUUAAAAUGAAUCGGGUAAGGUCGAAAGAUUUACAUUGGCUUUCUGUCAUAUUUGUGGUCCUCCUGUCCUUGGAGGUCCCAGCCUCUUCUUCAUGGGUUUCUGGGUCUUGCUUUUCCCAAGCAUGAGGCCAACAUAGAAAACAAAGCAGAUGUCUUUACGUAGCCAUGAAAAAAGGGCAAAAGCAACCACAUGCCAAAAGGUAUGCUCUUUUUAUUGAGUGAUCACAGCCAAAAGCCACUUUCUUUCGCCAGGAACUUGCUUAUAAGAGAUUAUUUCUAAACUGUCUUUAUCUGGAUCACCCACUGAUAUCAUAAUAUAUAAAAACAUUAAAGUGCUAAAAUACAGAUGCCAUCAAGAAACCCAAUUCCUAAUUGGUUAACUAUAAUUAUAUCUGAUUAAUGAGAUGUAAUGAUACCUAAACAUGUCUUUGAACAUCAUUGUGCUUCUACAUCGAGGGAUAGUCAGUCUUGUCCAAUUCCAUGAUUAGUGCAACAUGCAUUUGUGAGUAUGUUAGUGCACUAAAGGAAGGCAAGAGGGAAAAUGAGCAGAAAACCAAUAGAAUACACAGCUAGCUGUAAGAUAACCAGUUAUAAUUGAAUAAACCAUUUUCCUGAUUUCUUAUUGCAGAACACAGUCUCUGUCAAUGUACACACACACACACACACACACACACACACAUAUAUAUAUAUAUAUAUAUAUAGAUGCUUUGAGCACCAAAAUUACAGCUUAAAAAUCUACACACUAUGGCGUGGCAUUGUCACGAGGACAUCAUAUUCACUUACUGCACAUCAACAGAAAUCUUGAUGGGUGUAAUUUGAUCAACUGGCACUUACCACACAAGUGCACAACAAGUUAUAAAGCACGAAACCAGUGAGGGGAAAGAAGAAAGCAUGAAGAGCCAUGCCACUACAAAGAAUUGGACCACAACCAUAACCUUUCAAGAGAACCCUACAGUUAUGAUCAACCAAAAGUUCUAGAUGGAGAAAAGAAAAAGAAAAAGAAAAAUUAAGGCCGGUGUGCAUGCAUUUAUGCUUCCUACUUUUGUCUAUUAUCAAUUAAUUACACGUUCAAAAUAUCCAACACAAUAAGCACCUUCAAGAGGGUUGCUUUGAAGAAAAUUAUAAAUAACUAGAACAUUUGGAGGUCGAUCUUCAAAGAAAGAGUAGAGAACAGAAUCCAAUAUAUUAACUGGAGAAAAUGGUAAAUGAGACGAGAAGAACACAUGGGCAGAGCAAAGCUUCAAACAUAACGUACAGACCUGUCACUGUCUGUUAGUAUCUUGAUAUUUUCUUUGCCGCUGUCCAAGAAAGAAUGGUCCAUGUAUCUUGUUAAAUGAACGUCUUCCUACAAUUUGCAAUCAACUACUAGUUUUGUUAAAAAUUGUGGAACCUAGUCUUCAUUGUAGGAACACCAGCACCACACCAGAUUGAUGUGCGAAGCUUGUAAACAAUGAGGCAAUGUAUAGAAGUGGGGAAAGGAGUAAUUGCUGUGAAGAUGCAGAUAGCAAUGAAGUAGCAUUCUUCAUGUAUUGGUCUUCUAUUUUGCGGAGAAGAAGGUGUAACACUGAGGAACACCAUUUCUUUCUGCUCUUGUUUGAUAAACUAGGGAAUCAAUAAUCCAGACAUGAUGUGAAGAAUUAUAUUGAAAUAAGCCUAAUAAGCAUCAGCAAAUCCAAACAUGGGGCAAUGACAUUAAAAGCAUAUAUGACAUUCAUUUUGGUAUUCAAUCAGAAAAACAAAAUUUAUGGACAAGUCCAACCACGUAAAUGGUAAUUGUGGAAUGUUUAGCUUUGGGAAGGGACAUGAAUCAUCACAUAAGAAUUUUCCGCACACGUUUCUUUGACAUGGAAUGAAAGAGGUGUUGCGUACAGAUGUUUGCCUGAUUUCAGCACAGGAUGGAGAUCAAGGUCAUGGAACUUGGAGCAGGCCGAGAUGAUUGGUGGUCCAUUUAACAAGAUUAAAGUCUCAUCUUGAUUGUACACAGAUAACGGGAAAGAAGGGUUGAAGAGCUUUAUUCACAAAUCCAAGGCUCCACAAAUCGAAAGCCCGCAUAAAGGGUGAUGCCAAUCCUUUGCCACCCGUGAUGUUUUCAGAGUAAAACUCUGCCCAUAUCUUGAUCGAUGGGUACAACAAGUCAACCAGCCAUGUAAGAUUUAAGUCUUCGUACUAGCACUGUGUUCUUCUUCUACUUCAUGGUUAUUAAUUGUAUUUCUUUCCUUUUGAUCACUAAUGUCCAGCGAGCCUCCCUAACAGAAGUUCCCAUAAGGAAACAGAGUGAAAGCGCCCUGGAGAAUUAAAUGAUUGUCGGGUUUAAGUCCAGAAAAAUUAAAGCUCCCGUCUCACCCUUCCUUCAGGGGACCAAACAAUGCUAAAGAUAAGACCCAGGGUGGAACUAGCAAGCAGUAUCAUUCAGUAUAUGAGAAUGGUAAGUCCUGGAAGGUUGCGUAAGGCUAUUUCAAUCAGAAGCUAGACAUCGAGAGAAAGAGAAGAAAGAAGUUUCCUUCUCUAAUCUACUUGGACAAGAUCGUGCGUCCUUAUUCUAAUCAAAACCAGGCCUACCUGGAAAAUCAAGCAAAAAGGACCCCGAAACUGAGCAGACACCAUGGCACUAAAAAGAUCAAGUGAUACCCCGGAACUGAAUUAAGAAAACGUGAUCAAAGUUCCCAAACCUGUCGAACUUGAUGCCAGGCAUCAAGAGAAAGUUAAAGCUGAAACUGCAACAAAAACAUAAUCAGCAGCUUAGUUCGAUAUCCCUAUUCCCUUCUGUGGGAGCGUAUGCAAAUAAAACCAAAUUCAAUUAAUUCCCUUCCUGUCUCCUUCUCCAUCAGGACCACGUCCUCAAGCAAGUUGGUGCCUUGUAGCUUUUUGUGUUUGAUCAAUUCGACAAUUAUGAGGCCUACAUUAUACUCAAAAGACAAGCAAAAUCGGUGUCUUUUUAUUGAUCCAAAUUGGAAUAUAAUAAGUUCCAUUUUUCUGUUCUCACCAUUUUUUCAGUUGUCUUGACAUGAAAUGUCGAAAAUGCAGCAUACAACCCCCUCGGGCCACCUAGAAGUACAUGCCAAAUGGAGAUCAGCAGACCCAAGAAACUAUGCAGUGGCUAACUGGCUAAUUACCAAGUACAACCAGCAUCUCAUAGUAAUUGCUAGGUUAAGAGUAAAUAGCUUAGGUUCAAUGAUUUGAUCAACGAUAUGUAGUUGCCAAGAACUUUCGGCCAGCCAAAACCACCUCUUUUUUUUUUUUCCUUCCUUCUUGAGAGUGUCGCACUUUCCAUUCGAGAUAUCCCAAUUUUUUUGUAUUAUUAGCCAAAAGACAAAAAUAUGUUUUAUCCCCUUCUCUAAGCACAAGAGAAAUCAUGAUCUCCAUAAUUAAGGUUGGAUGACAAAAAUUGCAAACGUACGUGAGCUACUCUAAACUGCAAAUUUUGCCGUUAAUCGCUUAGCUAAUGCCGGAAAAGAGAGCCCGUUUGCCAAUUAAGACAUUUGCACUAGCAUCAUGUUAUAUAAAAGAGUUAAUAAACAGCCCAUCUUGGAUAAAUCCUAGUACAAAGCCUAUACUAAGCCACAUAAGUACUAAGAAGAAUGUUGAAAGCCCAUCUUAAGUCUAUUAUUUUGGAAUAUUAUUAUUUUCAGUCUUUUUUUUUUUUUUUAUAGGUGCACUCUAUAAUAAAAAGUUGGAGAACAGAAUAAAGCGUAUUCCUUCCGGAAAUGAGGACAUAGUGGCAAAGAAGAUCAAUAUUUUAACAAGUGAGCAUACAAUAAAAUUGCACGAUCAGAGGAAGUUGUGCGAAAUAUGAUGAUCACGACACUUAAUUCCUCUUAAGGAAAGGGAUCAUUGAUCAAACCCUCGCCUGCAAGAAAGAAUCAAAUCAUGCGGUGGAUCUAUUUAUUGGACAGAAUGUAGAUUAUUCGCCGUCAGACGGCGGGAAAUUAAUUCAUUGAAUUUUCAGUAUUUUUUGGGUCUCUCUAGAGAGACUCCAGGCCUUGAAACAAAAGCCGAGGGGUUGACAAAUGGGUGGGCUUUGGACAUGGCAAUUGUGUUAUUAAUGCAGUGUUAAGUUUUUGUUUUCUGUCUUUCAUCGGUCUUCCAUUAUGAUUUCGAUUAACUUUUUAUACAUUAAUAUUUACACUAACAGUUAUGAUGCAUGUCGAAUGAUUUGAAUUUUAAAUUUGAAUUCAUAUUAUGCACCAAUUAUCGAAAUCCACAAGUAAACAACGGUGUAUGAAAAACUUAUCCAAAUAAAAUAACCAUUCUGGGAAAUAGCAAAGUGAAUACAGUACAAAUGAAUAUGAUUUGUGGAUUCUUAUUUCUGGAGCGGUCCAAGUACAGAAUUCAAGCACUGUGUAUUUCUCCACCAUUAGUUGUGCGAAUCUUUCAAAUAUCCGGAUCACCAUGGCGGCAUUGGGUUGUUGCACGUAUUCUGAAUUUGGGUCAUCGUUGAAUUGUUUGGCGGAUCAUUUGUUGCACCUAUUCUGGAUAUGGAUAUGUGUGAAGUAGUCGAUAAAUGCAAUUUUUGAAUCGAAAGGAAUCACUCUUUGCAAAGCUGGAAUUAAACAUAAGUCGACAAACCUGGAUUUGGGUCAUUGAUCUGUCCGCCAAAUCAGAGCUACACGUAAGUCGGCAAAACUGGCAGAUACGAAAUUUGGACAAUGAAGAAGAUUGGCAUUGAUUGAUUAAACCCUAUGGCGGACUAUAUAUACUGAACAUCUCAACAGAAUGAAUCAUCCCCCUGAUCAUUGAUAUACAGAACUCAAAAGAUGGAGAAGCUACAACUUAGCUUGAAACUCCUGUUUUUGGUACUUUCUCUUCUGUGCCAUGAUGGUAAAGCUUCUAUAUCAUCAAUUGGUGGGCUCAAAAUGGAGGAAUUGUUGCAAGAAGAGCCCUCUCAGAACUUCGCUUCCCCGAAAUUUGGAUCAGAUACGUCUUUCAGCCUUUCAUCAGCGUAUCUUUACUCCCAAAGCGGGCGCAAAGAAAAUGACAAGAUUCAAAGGCUGCCUGGACAGCCUGACGGAGUAGACUUCAACCAAUAUUCAGGAUAUGUUACUGUUGAUCCCAAUUCAGGACGAGCUUUGUUUUACUAUUUUGUCGAAUCACCAAGAAACUCUUCAUCUAAUCCACUUGUCCUGUGGCUCAAUGGAGGUACUGUUGCUAAAUGUUGCCAGUUUAACUUUGUUUCUUACGAAAUUUAAUUAGUUUAUCAAGUGCUAGGCAUUCCAAGCUCUUUGCAGGUCCCGGUUGUUCUUCUCUUGGAGCCGGAGCAUUGACGGAACUUGGGCCAUUUAGAGUUGAAAAAGGUGGCAAGAUUCUCUACAGAAAUCAAUAUGCAUGGAAUGCAGGUCAUUGGAUUCUAGAUUAUUUUCAGUCUUCCCUCCAUGUAUAAUAUGAUAAUACACAUAACAGAGAUGAAGAAUCUAACCAAAGUUGGACUUUAAUUCUUUCUCAGAUGCCAAUAUCAUAUUCUUGGAGUCUCCAGCUGGUGUUGGAUUUUCAUAUACAAAUACAACAUCAGAUUAUGAUUUCACUGGGGACGAAAGAACUGCAGUUGAUACGUAUACGUUUCUAGUCAAUUGGCUUGAGAGGUUCCCCGAGUACAAGACUAGGGACUUUUUUAUUGCAGGAGAAAGCUAUGCUGGCCAUUAUGUACCUCAGCUAGCUCAAGUGAUACUACAUGCAAACACUAAUACGAACCAUACUAAAAUCAAUCUAAAAGGAAUCGCUGUAAGUGAUAAAGUUAAAAUUGACAUGCCUGUUAGUUUUUCUUUUUUAUUUUUUCAGCAGAGAUGGGUGAGAUUUAAGAAGUAAGAAGGACACAGGAGAUUAGAAUCCAAAAUCACUAAAUUCUGGAGUUUCAAUCUUCACCGUUAGACUAAUGCUUCAUUGGCACAUGCCUAUUAGUUGAAAGGAUUGAAGUUGCAUACUAAAAUUUAAUAUGGAUAAAUCAUAAUUUCAGGUUGGCAAUGGGUUGAUUGACUACGAAUCCUACAGUAGGGGAUGGUUAGACUAUUAUUGGACUCAUGCCCUUAUAUCAGACGAAAUGUAUAUUGGACAUGAAUCCAACUGCAAUUUCUCGUCUCCUGCUCCUCCAUCUGAUAUAUGUCGCCAAUAUCAAGACCAAGUCACAAAUGCCACUAAGGACAUAUACUCUUACGACAUUUUUGCGCCCUUGUGCAAUUCCACCUCUUCAUCCACUCUGGCAAGUAUUUAUCAAUUCUUUAUCUUUUCUAAAUGUGCAAACGUUGUUGAUCAAAUCUAUGGUUUCUUAUUUCCCUUCUAUUUUUUUUCCUGAUAAUUGCCUUGAAAUAAUAUUGACAGAUCUCAGUCUUUGAUCCCUGCUCGCUGGAUUAUGCUUUCGACUACUUAAACAACCCCGCAGUUCAGAUUGCUCUUCAUGUGGAUGCUGCCACUUUUCCUUAUCCCUGGGAACUGUGCAAGUAUAUCACUGUUACUCUUGAAGAAGAAAUGGUCAUAAAUUGUGCUUUUUAAGUUUUAAAGGUUUGAGCCACCAAGAAUAUUCACCAAUGUUCUUCUUUUUUGGGCUGUGGAAAUAGUCUUACCAUGAAUGGUAGCUGGAAAGACCGACGUUUGCCUAUACUACCAAUUAUCACUGAGUUGAUGGAAUCUGGAAUUCCAGUUUGGAUUUACAGGCAAGUCAUUAGAGAUAAACAAUGGCCAAUCUUUAGACUGAAUUUCGUCAAAUAAACUCUGAAAAUUGAAAAGAAAGAGUCCUGUCAACGAAACGAAAACCAAAUUCUCCUACAAUUCAACAUCUUCAAAUAUUGUAUAAUUUAACAGGAUUUAAGCAUUAAAUAAGACUGAAUCUGAAUAAAGAAAAUGUUAGAAGUGAACUUAACAAAGUCAGAUGAUUAAUUUGCAGUGGUGACACGGAUGGUGCAGUGCCAGUAACGUCCUCAAGGUAUGCCAUCAAUAAACUUGGGAUAUCUGUGAAAACUCCCUGGUAUCCUUGGUACCUCCAGAAUGAGGUAAGUGUCAUAUAUUUCUUUUUUGAUCGGCUUAUUUGUUGUAUAACGUAUUAUUUUAGAAUGAGAGCCUUAAACACUUGAACAUUACACGCAAACAAUAUCUCUGGAGUUUGUUAGUCCAAUGAAGUGGCAAAAAUGAACUUUUACAAGUAAAACUUGUUUCAAGAACUUACUUUGCCUAAUUAUUCAAGCAUGUGUUAAACAAAAAAAAAAAAAGCAAGCUCUUCAUUAUAAUGGAUUGUAGUAAGAUGAAUUAUCUAGAGCUUCCUUUAUAUUUUGUGUGGAAUAGAAGACUUAGUGGUAUAAAAAUUUUUGAGAAGUUUCAUCUAUUAAAUUAUGCUUUACAUUUCGCAUGAUACUUGCCCAUCAAGAAUUAUGGACUUGUCUGAGAUAUCAAUGCUGGGUUUGCAGGUUGGCGGAUAUGUGGUUGAGUAUGAAAACUUGAUGUUCGUUACCAUAAGAGGAUCUGGACAUUUUGUUCCUAGUUACCAGCCAGCAAGAGCCCUUGCACUCUUCUCUUCAUUCAUAAACCAAAAACUUCUCCCAUCCAAAUAGACUGAAAAAAGGGGAUGCUUUAGGAUGACCGAAAGAAAAUGCGGAUAACACAUAUAUGUUCUUGGCAUAUAUGUCAAACUACUCGUCUGGCCUUCUUAUUCAUUAGCCAAAAAAAUUAGUAUGAGACCUGACAAAUUAAAUUUUGUUCGACUGUCUUGUUAGUUGAAUGCAAAAUCUGUGAUCCAAAUUACUACUAUUUCGUGUUUAAAUGAAAAGAGCACAUGUCUCGACACCAUCUUAAGAUGAUAAUUCUAAGUACAGUAUUCAUGUGUUUUGCAUUUUCAAAUGAAAAAAUUGCCCAAAACAUCCCUUGCAUUUUGUUAAAUGAAUUUCUUGGUCAUUUACUUUUAAAAUAUUAACUUUAUGUCCCUUACAAAUUCAAAUUUAAGUUAGUAAAACUUGGUCCCAAUUUAACUACUUUUGAAUCUUAAAUUACCAAGUGACUCGCAUGCAAUCAUUUUUUAUAUACAUCAAGUCAAAUUCCAUAUCUUUAGUGGCAAAAAUGAAUAUAAAUUGGGUCAUAUUCCAAUUUUUUAGGGAAAGAAUGCACAUAAUUUGGGUCAGAUUAUACCUUUUUAGAAACAAAUAAAAUGAAUAUAGAUCGGAUCAUUUGUAUAACUACAAAUAGGAUCUAACUUUUUUAUCGAAAUGGUCGAAAACACAAGUUGGGACUAAAUAUUAUCGACUUGAAUUCGUAAUAGAUAUAAAAUUAGCAUUUUAAAAGUGAAUGACGAAAAAAUUCAUUUGAUGAAAUGUGAAUGAUGUUUUGAACGAUUUUUUUUUUUCAAAUAUAUUGCAACAACUUUAGAUACAAAAAAAACGAGUAUUUGUGGUGAUUAUGGGGCAAUUGCAUGAAUUUUCAAGAAAUAAGUUGAUUAUAAUGGUAAUAGUUUUACAACAAAGGAGUUCUUUAAGCGUGAAAUUGAGAAAUGGGGUGGAAUGGGUUGAGUGGUUCGAGAGGAGAAUAUGUAGGUGAGAUGCAUUUGAUUCGAGUCCUCCCAUUCACAAUAAAAAAGUGUCUGGAGUUGAAAAUGAGAAAAUUAAAAUGGAAAGAAAAAGAAAGGAAUAUGCUCAAUAGGAAAAGCUGUGGAAGUGAUCAUGUGGAAUAAAUACACAUUUUGUGUGUUUUAAUCUCCAUUAGUACACAUUUUAUUGGACAAAAUUGAGUUAUCACAACUUGUAAAACUUUGUUCAUAUGGUUUUCCACUUGUGUAUGCAUGGUUUCUUAUCCUGGCCAACGAUCCCUGAGGUCACAAAAGAAUCGAAAACCUCCGACACGUUAGAGACCUUUGGUAUGCAUAAAACGAUCAUAUAUAAUCCCUUGUCCUGUUGUCAUUGCUCCGAAUCAAAUCAAACUAAAAAAUCGUACGCUAGACAAGUAUAGACUCCAUAAGUUACAAGCACAGCAGAAUUGCAUGCACAUUCUAUAAAAUUGUAUUUUCUCGACGUGUUUUUUCCUAAAUUGAAAUUGCUAAAAACACCUAAUGAAGAUCCAGAUGGAGACCGCCGAGUACGUACCUGCAGAAAGCAACAAGCCGAGUGCAUGCUCAAAAAUUUUGGUUUACCUUGGCAAACAAACAUGUUGGUGAAGUUUUUAAUGGAUGGACUUUUAGCUUGAACAAAUUCUGAAGGGGGAAAGGAAAAAAAAACAUAUAUAUACUCCAUAUAAGAAUAUCAAAUUGCAGUCCUUCCAUGCACUAUAAAUCAGAGCAUUUCGAAAAUGGACUUCCAAAGUCCCCACAGGAUUCAUCUUCCAAAGUCCUAACUUCUCAUGUGGUUUAAUGGAGAUAAUACGCAUGUCUUGGUGAUAUAGUUUUUUCAUUUCUCUUUGGUCUUUGACCAUGUAAAACCUUUUUUCACUUGAUCAUGAUUUAAUCAAAUCUCAUUUUAUUUUAUAAUAAGGAAAAAUUGCAAUUUUGAUCCCCAAUAUUUGGCCUAUGUGUCGAACUGAUAUCUAAUAUUUUGAUCAAAACAAAUUUGGCCCCCAAACAAACUUUGUGAUUUUAGGCAAAUUUAGGAUAACUAACAGAAAUGGAAUAAUGACUAACGGUCAACAUCAAAUUAUCGUUAGUAAAUAACAUUGACUUUGUACCAAUCUUUUGAUUUUGAAUAUUAAGGAUUUUAGCCUGAAUUAAGAGAGGUUCGAGCAAAACUAUAUUCACUACAAUUCUUGCUUUUUUGGACCGUGGAAAAUUGUCUUAUCGUGAAUCAUAGAUGGAAAGACAGAGUGUUGAUUGAAAGGCCAAUUAUCACUGAGUUCAUGGAAUCUAGAAUUCAAGUUUGGAUUUACAAGUAUGUCAGGCAUUACAAAUGUACAAUGGCCAAAUCUUUAGAUCAAAAAUUUGCAAUCAAUCUGUGAACAUUGGAAAGAAUGAGUCCUAAGUCCUAACAACAAAAGGAAAAUCAAUUUACUCUUGCAAUUCAACUCUUUUGGGUACGGCUUUUUUCCCCUUCUUCCACCCGCUCUUUACCUAACGUUUUCCACCAAGUCGUAAAUUGUGGGAACACCAAUUUCAAGCUUACAAUAUGGUUUUUACAACUUAUUUUGAUUUUUUGCAUAUCAAGAAAUAGGACAUUUCACCUAAAAUUAUUACUGAGAAUCCUACCACUACAAAAGAUAUGAAGACAAUUUUGAAAAUAAAAACCCUAAAUGCAUUUUAAAAAGUAAUUUGUUUCCGUUUGUCAUUUUCAUCUUGUCUAUUGUUUUAUGAGCAAAUUACUCAGCUGCCUACUAAACUUUUGUAAUAGAAUGGUUUUGUUCAUUCAAUUUUUAAAAGUAUGAAAUUAUCCACUCAACUUUCAAACGUACAUAAUUUAGGUCAUUUCGUCUGUUUUUAUCAUCAGGUCUGUCUCUCGGUGAUGUCUCAUGAUUCGUACAAACCCUUAGAUGUGGUAGAAUUAAUGGCGAAAAUACACAGAAUUGCCUAAAGUAUACACAUCUCGGAGAUGUGUGAAUAACUUCAUACUUAUAAAGAUUGAGUGGCUACAAUUAUACCAUUCAAAAAUUUAGUGGGUAAUAAGGUAACUUGCUUUUGUUUUAUUGUUCUACCUGAAAUCACAAAAGAUACAGAAUCUCCGAGACGAAACAGAUCCUUUGGGAUGCCUACGAAUUUGCAAAUUCCUUGUCAUGUAGUCAGUAUUCCGAAUCAACCAAACUGAAACGUGCAAAUAGACAAAAGCAUCCGUUGCGAAUAAAAAACAUUUGCAUGCACAUUUAAGGAAUUGUAAUAUCUGGCCGUGUUUGCUUAAAUUGUAUUAGUUGCUUAAAACACCUAAUCGAGACUGUGCGCCGGAGUAUUUGAAGAUAAGUUACUACACCUUCCACCAUAUUUCUUUUUUUUUUUUCUCACGUCCCAAAAUAAGACUCACCAUUUUAAAAUUCAUACAAAAUAUUAGUUGCUUUUUAAUUUUAUCAUUUCAAAAAUUAACCUUUUCAAAUUUGGAUGCACAUUUAAUCACCAACUGAAUGGUUUUUAUAAAAUGCUAUAGAUGUAAUUUCAUUCAAUGCACACAUCCAGACAUCAACGAUUAAAUGUCCCCUUAAAAUGAUGAAUUUCCAAAAAAAAAAAAGUAUAAUAUUGAGACGGAAGGAAUCCUUUGUUGAAUAUAUCAAGGAAAGCAGUAACAAGUUAAGAUUAUAGUGCAUGCAUGCUGACGUGCUCUACAGAUGUGGUUUAACAGGGCAAAGCUAACAUGUCAGCCAAAGAGAUAAUUGACGGACUUCUGGUUUGAACAAACUCUGACGGCUUAAAAAGAAACAAACCAGUUUAUAAGCAUAUCUUGGUGAAUAGAUGUAGCAAAAUGGCAUCAAAUUGCCGACCUUCAAAGGACUAUAAAUCAGAUCAUUUCAAAAGUAGGCUUCAGUGCACUUUCAAUUCCUCGGUUACAGGAGAGUAGUAGCAUAGCGUCAUAAUGGCCAAUAUCCUACUAAUCUUGUCAAUCCUGUUCGUGGUGAUAUCCCAUCAGUGUUACGGGAGUCAACCACUUUCUGAAUUCCUGACAGAGAAAUCGUUCAAAGGUGCGUUUCACGCUGAUUCUUUUAAUGCAUUGAGUCUAAGAUCUGAAUCUGAUGCAUCUGCCAAGGCUUUUGCUGUGCAUGUUAGCCCCCAAGAUGGACUCAAAGAGAAAGACAAAAUUGACAGAUUGCCCGGGCAACCUGAUGGAGUAGACUUCAACCAGUUUUCAGGCUAUGUUAAAGUAGACUGUGGAAGAGUUUUGUAUUAUUAUUUCGUUGAAUCCCCACAGGAUUCAUCUUCCAAACCCCUUCUCAUGUGGUUUGCCGGAGGUAAUGUCCCUUGACAUGGUCUGUUACUUCGCUUUUGGUCUUCAACGUUACAUAACCAAUGUUGAUCACUUGUUCAUUUGUUCAGAAUUCGUUUGUUUAAAAUUCCAUUAUCAACUUUAAUUAUUUACAUAUUGUUCUUGAACAUGCAGUGCCUGGUUGUUCUUCCUUUGGUGUUGGAGCAUGGACGGAAAUUGGGCCAUUUAGAGUCAACAAAGAUGGCAAAACUCUGUACCGUAACCCAUAUGCCUGGAAUAGCGGUAAGUGCUAAUUCGAACGUAGUCGCAUGAUAUGAACCUUUCAUAUGUAGGUUAGUUACUGCAGAAUAGUGACCAAAAGUUUGCAUUUGAAUACUCGUCCCAGAGGCCAAUCUCAUCUUUGUUGAGGCACCAGCUGGUGUUGGAUUUUCAUACUCAAACACGAGUGCAUAUUAUGAACGUAUUGGCGACACCCUCACUGCAUACGAUACAUAUACCUUCUUAGUCAACCGGCUCGAGAGGUUUCCAGAAUACAAGAAUAGAGACCUUUUUCUUGCAGGAGAAAGUUAUGCAGGCCAUUAUGCUACUCAACUUGCUCAGCUGAUACUCCGUCAAAAUAAAUAUUCAAAUCAGACUACUGCGAUCAACUUAAAGGGAGUUGCAGUAAGGAGUGAUUUGACAAGUUUGUCAAUUUUAGUGUAUAAUAAUAAAACUAGAUAUCAAUCUUACUCUUUUUUUUUUUUUUCAAAUGAUAACUCAUGUUUCAGCAUGGCAAUUCGUACAUUGACCAUGAAUCAAGUUUCUACGGAUCAUUAGACUAUGCGUGGAGACAUGCCCUCAUAUCAGAUGAGAUAUAUAACGGAGUGAAUUCCAAUUGCAAUUUAUCUUUAGUCAUUCAAUCUGAUAGCUGCUCUGAAUAUCUGAAUUCCAAUUGCAAUGUCACUGAAGGCAUCAAUCCUUAUGAUAUCUAUGCAUCCUUGUGCAAUUCUACACCUGGAGCGGCUCCGGUACGUAUAAAGUGAUACAUUCUCUUCGAUCAGUCUCUUUUCGAGUGUGCCAAAAACUAAUCUAAUUUUCUUUUUUAAUCACUGGCUAAUUAAAUGAUGACAGUAUUCAUAUGUUGGCCUGUGCUCCACCGACUAUGUCUCGGAUUACAUGGAAAAUCCUGAAGUUCAGAUUGCUCUUCAUGCAAAUAUUUCCACCGUUCCUUAUCCGUGGAAAAUUUGCAAGUAAUGCUACUAAUUGGUAUAAUAUAUUAGAUUGCUAAAUUUAGUACUUCAAACUUGGAGCAAGAUUUUCCAAGUAUUUGACUAUCAUUAAAUUGUCCCUUGGAUCGUAUGUUGUCCUCUGGUAUGUCUCGGAAAUUAGUGAUUUGAAGAAUUGGACCGAUGCUCCUAGGACAGUGUUGCCAAUCAUCACUGAGUUGAUGCAAAGUGGAAUUCAAGUUUGGAUUUACAGGCAAGUCAUUCCAGACCAAAUAUGCUUUUGAUCAGUACUGACAUUUGAUGGAUGGAUAACUCCUGACACAACAACAGCAAAAGCAUAACAAAAUAGUAGUAUUCCUUACCUUUUGCAAAUUUAAUACCUGAUUAAGAGUUUUCAAAUGAUGUUCAGCGGGGACACUGAUAGUGCUAUUCCUGUAACAUCUGCCAAAUAUGCUGUUAAUAAGCUGAAGUUAUCGGUGAAAACUGCUUGGUACCCAUGGUACCUUCAAAAUGAGGUAAUUCUUCUAAUCGCGUUUGCAUUUCUUAUAGCAUCUGCUACAUUUCCUCUUAAAACAAGUGGAUAUAUACAUACAUAUGGUUGCUUGUGCAGGUCGGAGGCUACGUUGUUGAAUACCAGAACUUGACAUUCGUUACCGUCAGAGGGGCCGGACUUUUUGUUCCCGACCAUCAACCCGCAAGAGCCCUCGCUCUCUUCACUUCAUUCAUCAAUGCACAGUUGCCCCCUUCCACCUAGACUUUUAUUCGGGAUGAUGCUUCCGCCACUGUACAAGAAAGAAACUCAUGCGAGCUGUCGCUUUGAAUCAAUGUCAUCUUUUAGUUUUUAUUCUUUCUUUAUUUUCCUUUUCGAAUAAAAUUCAAUAUCAAGUCUGCUUUUUAAAUGUCUCCCUAGCUAGUGUUGUUACAAAUUAUAUCUCUUUCCCUGUGCAUUUCUUUACGUUGUCUCUUUUUAUUUUCUUUUUGAACUAUUGUGAAUCUUAAUUAUCGACAUAUAUACUUGCAAAGAGUCAUUUCCUAAGUUCUAUUAGUGAACAUAAUAACUGCAUGCAUAAUUUUACCGAUCACAGGUCUCACAAGUUCUGGUUCAAAUCAAUUGAGGGCAGAAAGAUGAUUCAAAAUGAGUUAAAAUUAUGAAAAUUUUGCAAUGAUUAAUCAGGCAACAAAACUUGGUCAAUUUUAUAUGAAAUUUUAUAUAUAACUAACACAAGUAAUGAAAUAUGUUAUGAACUAUGUUGAUUUUUGAAAUAAUUUUUAAGUUAAUUUUAGUGGAGUGUAAUGGAGAGAAGCUCUCUCCAACGCAAGGAAGAGGAGCCUAGUCCCACUACUAUAUACUGCAGAGGCUAUCAAACAUCCGACACGAGAGCAUUGCACAAGUACGUACGCUCUAAUUGUCUGUGAACCUCAGAUUCAAGUAGUACGUAAUUUGCUUCAAGAAAGAGUCUGGUUGUCCAUUUGUGAAAACUAUAAUGUUAAAACGGCUAAAUGAUGAAAGCUAUGGUCCCCAAAUUUCCUAUUUUAGUAUGCUAGCUUAAUGAGAUGAGGUAAAUUUUGUGCCAUGGAACUGAGUUGAUUAGCAACUGAUCUUUGCAUUCGGCUAUACAAGAGAUCUUCUGGAGUUUAACAGAGAGAAGAACAAAAAUAUCACAAUCGGGUUUCCUAACAUGAUGACAGUCCCACUAAAUCAGCCAACCGGCUGAGGAAGCGAGCCGACAGGAAGAAUAACCAUAUAUAACCCACCUACAAUCACUAAAAAGGAUAAUCCUGAAUCAGGACGUGAUUUACUUUUCAAAUAAAUUUUCUGGAUUAAUAUCUGUAGGCGAGUGUUGCAAAUUGCGACAGCAGGUUUAUGUCUGUAUAGCUUUCUGGGUAAACUUACCGGGGAGAAUCAGAUAUUCUCCAAGUAAUUAUUCAAAUUCUAUGGAAGUAAUCACCUAUAGGUUGUGUUUGAUCCAUGCCAAUGAAGUUAGGUCGUAAAUAAGGUUGGAAGUUGCCUUGACCAGAGUCGCAAAAACUGAUAGAAACUGGUCACCCUGCACUUGAAAGCACUUGUAGCUAGACAUGCUAUUGAAUUUCAAGAACAUGCAGCUGCCAACACUAGUAUUGUUGACUAUAAUUUUCCUGUCUUGGCAGCAAUAUGCCUUUCUCAUGAUCAAAGGUGAAGCCAUUCAGGCUGAUAACCUUAACGAACUCAUUAAGACUCGACAUUCAGAAAAUCCUCCAAAAUUCGGAGCCAUGGCUUUAUCUAGAUCUUGCAGUUAAUUAAAACUAUGGCCCCAGUGUACAUUAGCCCUCAAGAUGGAUUGAUGGAAGCUGAUAAUAUUGAUUCAUUGCCAGGGCAGCCUGAAGAAGUUGAUUUAAACCAAUAUUCCAGUUACGUAACAGUGAAUCGGGAGGGCAGAAGAGCUUUAUUUUAUAUUAUUUUGUGGAAUCACCUGAAGAUUCUUGAUCCAAGCCUCUAGUCUUGUGGCUCAAUGGAGGUAAGCGGAUUUUUAAACUACUUCUACCAUUUGGACCUUCUUUCUGAUAUUCAGUUUUUUCAUUACUGUCCCUUAUUCUUAUUCCUCCCUCCACAACACAACCCCCUUCUUUCCUUUAAAUGUAACUACCAGCCUGUUAUUAAUCACAAGAAGAAAAUGAGGCGUUGUACAAGAGAUGAAAAUGCGAUUCAAACCAAUUACAGAGAUAUCUUAUGAGCCUAAAAUGUCGGACAGGAAUAUAAAGCAUAGUAGAGGCCAAUAAUCCGCAAUGGACCCCGUUCAUCUAAGACUACCUCCCAAGUAACUUAGGCCCAAGAUACCGAAACAGAUAUAUAGUUUAUUAUCUGUCCUCUCAUUGAUGCAGAGCUUACCACAAAUAUUAUUGACAGCAUGAUAUGGCAAUGAUCAGGGCCAGGAUGUUGCUACCUGGGAAUUGGAGCCAUGCAAGAGCUUGGACCUUUCAGAGUCAAGAGUGACCGCAAGACCCUCUUAUCGAAAUGACUACAGCCGAAAUAAUGUUGCAAAUGUCAGAUUUCUAAGAGUCCCCAGCUGGUGUUGGCUUCUCAUGUUCUAAUAAAAUCCCUUGUGCCGGGUGACAAAAUCACAGCUUCAGAUUCUUAUGCAUUUCUUGUAAACUGGUUUGAGAGAUUCCCACAAUACAAGAACCACGAGUUCUACAUAACUAGGGAGAGCUACGAUGGCCCUCAGCUUGCCCACACCAACCUUGCGAUGAAUAGAAAAUCCCCUAAAACUUUCAUUAUCUCAAAGGCAUUGCAGCAAGUCAAUACUGCAUUUUGCAUUUUUGUUCCAUUACUCAGUUUUUUCCAUGCAAACCCACAGACGAGCAUUCAGUUCAUUCCAUCUACAAUGACAAAGGGGAGGUACGACUACUUCUGGACCCAUGCUUUGAGCUCGGACGAAAUCCGCAUGCAAAAAUUGACAAUCGAACUGGGAAUUAUUCACCCGCAUGCAUGGAACAAGCAAGGGUAGAACGCGGGGAGAUCGGUUUAUUUAACAUUGCUGCUCCAAUUUGCAGGUCUUCAGAGCCAAGCAAACCCUCCGAUUCAGUAAGUGUGCACUGUGCAUUAUUGAGCAUUGUACCAUGCAUGCGUUUAUCAACAAAACACUAUCAUGAUUUGUAAUCACAUCAAAUUAUUUGAGAGAAAUAAUGAAGAAUCCGGAAGAAUCUAAAAAUUAUUAUAAUUUAUUUUUCACUCUCUCUCAAAUUUGAAGCAUUUGCGCGAAAUUUGCACUCCGAAGUCAGAAUCGAAUCCAUUUGGUGGAAACUCUGCAUGUUAUUUGGCAUUUUGAACAUCGUAUACUCGUAAAUGUUGUCCAAAUAUAAACAGUGCCGUUGUUGUUUUAUCCUUAUUAGAUUGAAGAGUGGACGAAUGCUCCAAGAAUUAUACAGGGGCAUAUACCUGAACCGAGUAGAAGUGCAACCAGCUGGGAUUUUUGUCACUCGAUUCAAUCCUCAAAUGGACAAAACAUUUUAAAGACAUUGGCAAAGCAAGACCCUGACAUCUGUUACAAAUGUUAAUAUAUAUGGCAGCGGACCGAUACCAUUGGAGCGGCAGUCCAGAUACCAUUCUUCCCUUAAUCGCAAAUGGCAUCAGAAUCUGGCUAUAUAGGUACAUCACCUGCUAAUUGUUACAAAUUAGUGCCAUACAAUAGAUCUAAUUGAAAAUUCACAUUCACUUCUCACCAAGCUCAACGCACAAUACUAUUUCGGAAAAGCACAAAAGCAACUGAAAAUAAACCUGCUCAAAUUGCAUCAUCCAACAAAAAAUAAAAUAAAAUAAAUAGAAGCAACCUCUUACUUCAUUAACUUCUCAUGAAAAUAGCAGGUUGGCGGCUACGUAAUUGGGCACAGAGGACUGGUUUUACUUACUGUUAGGGACGCAGAGCACGAAGUUCCAAGCCAUCAACCAGAGCGCUCGCUAACUAUGAUUCCUUCAAGGGAAACUUCCUCCUCCCCAAAAAAAAAAAUCCUCCUGAACUUCGAUAGCACUGCUCAUUCGACUGCCAAUCCUACAGCAGUAGAGAUUUAUAAAGCAACAUGCUGAAUCAAUGAGAACCGUAUCCUCUAUUUGCGAUUGCACAAACUUGAAGCGAAUUAAUGGCAUAUAUCCAGCUCAUCUCCUCGUCAAUGAGACACAACAUGCCACGAGACUUGUAUACGGAAACUAAUAAAUUUUUGGGGGACAAGAUCGGUCAGCCAAAAUAUAUAUUAUUUAUUGCUCAAUUUAUUAUUAGCAGGAGGAUCAAUCGUUUAUAUAAAGUCAAAGCUGAACGCAUUGACGUAUGCAUGAGUGUGUUUAGAUUGUAAGUUAUUUGAAAUAUUUUUACUAUAGCACUUUUUGUGAUGUGAUGUAUGUGAGAUAAAAAGGUAAUUGAAAAGAUAAAAAAGUGUAUUGAAAAUUGUAAUGGUGAUGUCAGCAAAUAUAUUUGGCCAAAUAAUUGACUGUCCAAACAGAUUUCAACCCCCAAAAAAAAAAUAUAUUAAAACAUUUACACGACAAAAAAAAUACUAUAUACAGUUCUAAGAAUUUUUCCAGCCCCCCGUGUCUCAGAUCUCUAAGCUACACCCCCCUUGUCCCAUAGAAAAAUGGGCUUGCUCAUAAGCAGAACAAUCAACAUUUUCCCGUUAAAUUGUCCACAAUCUUCUCGCUCUCUCUCUCUCUCAAGUGUUCCUAGAAGCAUACAGUCCAUCCUGAGUGAUGCACUACUUUUACAGUCUUCACCUGCAAAGUUCAUGGUCAAAUCAAAAUCACAGGUUUGAGCUACAUAUAAGGAGACCAUUAUAUAUGUCGUCUUAUGUUACCUGGAAAGGUGGAAAAGCCAUUCAGAAAGGACUAUUAGACUCUCUGGACUUGCUCCUGAACUUUCAAAGCUUCCACAAUGCUGUCAACCCAGCUGCAAGGAGGCAUGAAAUGAGAUUGCUUAAUGUAGUAGAUGUUACUAGUCGAUCUCUUGUUUUGAAAAUAAAAGAUGAAAAUAUUAUGUGGAAGACCACAAUCGAAGAGGACUUGAGAAUUGGAGAACUGUUUGAAGUUGAUAAAAAAAAAAAAGAGGAGGAGGAUAUUAGUGGAAGCCAACUUGCAGACAAGACCAAUGGAUCGCUAACACAAUGGUGUAGUCCAGGAAAGAGUGAAAAAAGGGAGUCAAUACUUGGCAUAGAUGAGCCUGGAAAGCUUUAAAAGUACUGGCUUCAGACCAUUGCAUAGCUGAGGCACUGGGGUGACUUGAACCUAUAUCGGAACAUAUUUCUGCCUUCAUGCCACAAUAGAUACUAUUACCCAUAAUUAAAGACGUUGCAGAAAGUAAAUUCCCUUGAAAAGAAAACUAUUACCCAUCAAGACCAGGAUCUACUGGAUAGUAUACAUUUGUUAACCCUAGUCUUUUUGCAGCCGAAGCAGUUGUCUCGCCAAUACAAGCAACAGCAUUACCCCACCUCUCCAGUUCUGGAAUAAGAUUAAUCCAAGCCCUAUUGCAGAGCAGAUGCAAAAUGAGUAUUAAUAACAGCAAAAAAUGCAGGUAAAAGGUAAAGCACUGACUGCAAAAGUAGAUAAAGUCUUGCAUUCAUCUCAUGUAAUAUACGUCAUUAAAGUGAUAUUACCACAAAGCCAGAACUAACUGUUGAUCUAUUGUCCAGACCAACUGAUCCAGAGCAGUCAAUGCCAGUAAUAGAACAUUUUUUUUCCUUUUACACACAUGAACUGACAUACACAACAUUGUAAGAGAAAGAACCUUCUGCUCUGCGGUAAUUUAAAAGGGCAAAAGUUUUACCGCAGAGCAGAAGGUGAUGCCACAGCAACAACAGGAGCCGCAAGUGCCUGUCUCAAAACCAUCUGAUCAACUUGAUCCACAGGUACCUACAUAUUUGGUAGAGCUCAGAGUCAGCAAUAUGAAGCAGGCAAACACAAAAAGAAAAGGAUAUUUGGCAAUUGGCAUGACUUGAGCAAAUGGAGACUACGCAUGCAACAACCUGCUAUUCCCCAGGUAGUAAGGAACUGGGAAGUUAUAAACAUACUGAAUAGCUCCCAUGAUAAAAAUCCUAACUAUCCAAAACUCAUUUCCCCAGACAACAGUUAAAUGAACAUGGAAAUCCAAGCCCUUGGAACCAGCACAGAAAAUUAUUGUAUUAUGAAAUUUUAAAAUCAAAGUGAAUGACACAGCCAAACUGAAUCCUUAACUCCAUAGACGUGAACAAGUUGUAUCCCUAGUUCCAGGCAACAAAAUAUUGAGAUGCAUGCCAAUCCCACCCAAAAAAAAAAUCAUCUAAACAAAAGCACAUAAGAAGGAACACAAUGCAAAAACAGUAGCAGACAACUGUCACUAUUGAAUUCCCAUCAUGAUAUCUACAAACAGCAAAUCAUACAUUGCCAUCAAUGCAUGAAAGCAAAGACGAGAAUUUAUUGAUAAUUUCACACCAUAUUUACCGUUGUGUAUGUAUUAAGCCGAAUGACCUCAAAUCCACGCUCCGAGAGACCUUCCUCUGGAAAUUAUUACAAAACAAAUCUACUUAGUAUUGCUUUUAUUAUAUAUAAUCACAUAUGGAAACAAAGAGCAAAAGGAACAUGCUCUGCAAGGAUGAAGGUAACUGCAAAAACAGAUAAAUGGUAUCAAAAUGCUGGGAAAGAAAAGCUCAAGGAAAUGGCUAAACUCCACCGAAAUAGAAUCCCUUUAUGUAGAGAUAACCUUCAGCAUCAUUCAUGAUUCGACAGAGAAUCACCAUAUUGCAAAAUGAGCCAUAACUUGAAUACAUAAAGUUUCUAAAACUACUUAGUAUUGCAUCUCUUCAUUUAUGUUGUCCAUCUCUCCAUAUUCUCCUCUAAUAAAAGUAGAGAAAAAAAUCUUCAGCAAUUUAUUGCACAGCCUCUCAUUAUCUUCAAAGAUGCAGAAGAAAUAGAACUGAAGUCGCUACAUAAGAAAUAUCCAACUCCAAAUCCUUUCAGUUAAUAAGAUUAGCUUAAUCUUAAUUAAUAUAGAUCAGUUCCAGGAAAAUGGAAAGUAAAACAUAACGUACUGAUGAUUAUGCCUGUAGAGACAGCAAAACGGAAAAAUGGCAUUACAUAGGCCACCAAUAUGGCAGGUGAUGAAGCGAUGAUUGAGAUGAGUUUCUUAAGUGCUUGUAGAUGUUAUUUAUACUAAUCUACAAUGUGCUUAGAUGAAAUAGAGUAAGUUUGGUAUCCAGUAAGUGGAAAAGAAAACCAAGAUGCCUGUUCACUCAAAGCACUUCUAGUGCAUACAUGUCAACUUAUUUGGUGUCUUUUCACUUUCUAUCAUAUCAAAGGAUAAUAUAAUACACCUGUGCAUAUAGAUACUUGUCUGUGUGUAUGUGUGUGCGCAGAAUCUUUGUAGAUGAAAGUAACACAUACCAAUAUCACUGCUAGCUUUUGCUGAAGCAGGAUAUAGGACACUACAUCUUUCAUUUCCAUGCUUUGGAAGCUCUGAAGCCAAAAUUUUGCCGGUAGCUGAAAAUUACAAUUGAAUUCAAGUUUUCAGGUUUUCAGCAAGCAAAGGUGGCUGCCCAUUUUGGUGAGGAAAUAGACACACAAGCAACAAGCAGUAACAAUAUACAGAAAAAUAUUUUCUGUGGCAUACUGUCCAAGGUUGAGAAAUACUUUAACCGCAAACCUUUUGAUGGUGCAAAAGCAACAUGCAGGUACUGUUUUGAUUGUUGUGCAACUUUUUCAAAUAUACUAGCUGUACCACCACCAACGACACCAACCUUAACAUUUGGGGUACCUGCUGCUCUGUAACAGAAAUUUGUUACAAGUUUAUUGACCAGCUAUCUUAAAAGAUCACGAUCAAGAGUAGCAGAAAUAAAUGGCUAACUCAUGCGCAUUACUUAAUUUGAAGAGGGUAAUUCUUCUGUCAAGUCAAUUUUCUAGUGGAUUUCCUGUCCACUAGGUGACUUUGUCUUGUUAUUAUAAUUUCCUCUAGCAGAAAACUGACAUGCUUGAGUGAAAUCUUCACCCUAAAGGCGAUUCUAAGAUAUGCCAACAGAAAAUAAGAAGUCUGCUGUAACAAAACUGCAAGUUCUGCUGUGACUGUCUUUUAAAAUGCUUCAUUUUGGAAUAAUUCCAAUUACCCUCUUUCUCCAGUGGGCAUAAAGUUCUGCAGACACAAUCCUGACUCUCAUAUAUUUUAGAAUUGGCUAUUGGAUUCAAUUCACAUUUAUCCCACUAUUACUAACCUUAUGCAAUAGGUUAUAAAGCGAUCGAGACAUAUGCAUAACCAAAACUCUCCUCUGAUUCUCAGCUUUAAAUUAAAGGGGAACCAAACAUAAAAAGUUCAGCAUUCAAAAAUGCAGUUAUAACCUAGGCCAAGGCAAAACUAGCAUUGCAUGGUCAUGAAACGGGAUCACAGGACUUCGGAAAUGUGGUUAAAACAUAAUUUUUGCUUAUUUACUUUCAUAAACUCAAAUGGCAAAAAAAAAAAUGUAUCAUGAGAAUCUUCAAAUUUCAUUUGUCAUCAGAUACAUUCUUUGGAGAACCAUCUUUGUAGGUUACCAGAUAGGGCCAGAAGCAAUACUUUUCCAAAGAAUGCAGAAGUACUUAUCAAUUAAGAGAUGGAUCAUGUUCAAAGAUAACCUACGUCUUCCCACUUCAGCUACAGUCAGGAAAAACUUACUUCCAAGCAUCAAGGAAAACUGUUCCUGCUUCCGGUGAAGUUACGAUGACCCAGUCAAAAGCAGUCUCUGUUGGCACAAGGAAUAAGAAAGGCAUGGACUUGGGAUCAAUAAAGAAUCAAUACUAGAUUUUACUCUUUCUUAUUAUGAAAUCAAAGUGUGAAAAUAAACUAGGGUGAAGCACACAACGGAAGUAAAUACCAGAGCAAUCAGGCAUAUCAAACACUAUCGAGUAUAACAGUUAAGCAAUCAACACUCAAGCAGCAGGCUGAUGGAUGAUGCACACAGCUUUAGCUAACACUCCCGUCGCCCUAUUUCCAAAAUCUUUCCCUCCCUCUCCAUUCGUAGUAACCAUGAUUAUCACAUGAACAAAUAAAUUUGAUCACGUAGACAUUCCCAGUAAACUAGGCAAUUGGGUGAGUUUCAAACUAAUCCAAACCACGAAUGGGGAAUGAACUCACCACUUAACAAACACGACAGCCUGUUUGAAUCAGGUAACAGCUCAUGCUGGAUAAGAGGAAGCUCUAGACAAUCAAUUCCAUGUUUCCCCUGCAGCACAUGAUGAAAAUUCCAUCUUAAUCCCGGGUUUUCUAAUUUAUGAAUCCAAUCAGGAUACUACCUUCAGCAUACUAUACUUAUGAUGGUGUUAGAAAGGCACUAAAGGAAUGCCAGUACACUUGCAGUAUACAUUUGGUGGAAAAUGAUGCUCGAUAGCGUUUUGUUUUUUUUUCCCAACAAACAGCUGACUUUCCACUCAUUUCUACAGAAGCAACAGUAAGACAGUAAAACAAAGCCACAUUUCAGCUUAGUAUAUGAUCAAAAACCUAAAAUGCAGGAAACGACGCCCAUAAUACAGCAUUAAAACUCGUAAUUCAGGUCUACAUACUUUACACUGAAACCAACGGCCACAUCGUUCCUGGAGGCAACCAGAAGAUUUACGAGUAACUACAUCAAAUGCAAAAUGCUAAUACACAUACAUUAACAUAAUUGCUGCUACAGAGAGAGAGAGAGAGAGCGAGUGGUUACAUACCAGAGCAUUUAUGAGCUUCGCGUUUUUGCCACGCUCUCUAGUGACCACGACUUUCGGCUGCGACGUUGAGGAAGCAGACGACGCCGAAUUAACUGAAGACGAAGCACGCAGGCACGUUAUCCUGCGAAAUUGCAGAGAGGAGGACGACGACGACGACGGAGCAAGAGGAGGAGGAAGAUGAAGAGAGGAGGAGGUGAGAGAAAGCCAAGGCAUUAUUGUGGUAAACGUGGAGCUAGGAAAAUCGGGCGAAAGAGCCAGCUGCAACCCCCCUACCAAAUUUUUUAUAUUUAUAUAAUACUGCUACUGCCAUAUUUAUCCUAGUCCUGACCCACCUCAGUCUCACUCAAUUUAAUUCCUAGUGCCUUGACAAUUGAAAAACGAACAACUUUGGGCAAAUGUCCAAUUUGGUCCUAAAACUUCAUCUCACCAAUAUUUAUAAGUCUUUCGAAAUUUUUUUGCUUUUAUUUCUGUAACAAUCUUCAAUCGCUCAAUAUAGUAGUGUUCAAUAUCAAUAAUAACGUUGUCUAAAAAAAUUAAUGUGUAUGCGUCACACCAUACGAUUAGGAAUCAUAAGUAUUAUUUUUAUCUGUUUUUCUCAAUUAAUAUGUAUGAUGCGUCACAAAUCAUAAAUAUCAUAAAUCGCUCAAAUACUAGUACUAGUAGGAGUGUUUGGAUAGCAAUUUUUUUUCAAAUAAUAUUUUGUUUACAUCAAAAUAUAUUUUGCAAUCCAUCUUUUUAUCUCACAUAUAUCACAUCACAAGAAGCAUCACAAUAAUUAUUACAAAUAAUAUUCUAUCCAAACAAAUUAUUUGAAAUCAUAAAUAUUCUUUUCAUUGCCUUUCUCCUACUAGUUGAGUUAAAGUUAAGUUUAUUGGAACGGGUAAAUAAUUUCUCAGUCGAGCAACUAUUGACAGAGUAAAAUGGUGCAGAAACUCAAAGUAUAGGGGGCCAAAUGGUUGGGAUCAAAAGUUUGGGGACUAAAUCUAUCUUGGUAAAUUAGUGGAUGACUGGAUUCGCUAUUUCCGCAAGAAAAAUUGAUUAAUGAAGCUUGGUUGAUUGAAUGAUGACCUAAUCCAGAUAUUUUGGAAUAAAAGUGGUCUGACUUCGACGUAUUAGUGGUAAGUUGGCCCCCCAAUGGGUCGAAGGGUCACCGCGGCCCACCUCGUGAAAUGAUGGCUCCUGCUCCUUUAUUAGGAAACGAAGUGGAAUCGCGAUGCUUCCCAGAAGGGUUGAUCUGGGCCGUCCAUCGGAUCGGGAGGAUAAUAAAAGGAGUUGUUGGGGGAGUGAUCUGACGGUGAGAUCUGGGACUGGGUUCCCGUCGGGUGCGCGUCAACGUUGCUGAUUGAUUGUUGUGGUGCAACCCAACUCCCAACAUCGCAACCAAGCUCAUGCACAAUCUGCUGAUGUGUGCCCUCUGAUGAGGCAGGCCCGUACAAGCUGGAACGUGCUUGUGCCUUGUGAAAGAUGAAAUGAUAGUGGUAUUUGAAUUGAGUACGAUUCAAUAAAAUGUACUUCGAAAUUGAUUCUCUAAUUAUUCAGAUAAUAAUUAAGAUUGAAUAGCAUUUAUGUGUUUACCAAAUAUUUAAAUUCCACUUGAUUAGCAUAAAUUAAAAUUUAUGAUAUUUUGAUAAAAUUAAUAUCUGAAAUUUAAAAUCUAAAAUCUGAAAUUUGAAUUUUUUUUAAAUUAUUGAGUCGUUAAACACUAAAACUCUAAUAUCUGAAUUCUUUAAGUUUUGAAACCCUAAUAUUCAAGCAUAUUCUGCAUUAAGUAGUAAGUGAACCUCUAUCACAAAAUUUUUUUUUUUUUUAAUAAGAUGUUAUAUUUUUUGUUGUCAGACAAGUCUAAAGCUUUUAGACACUAGAUUGAAUGAUCAAACAAGAUCUAAUACAUGUAAAAACUUCAAGUUACACGAACUCGAAUCGAGUUUAGUUCAAUAAAAAAAAACUCAUUUAAACUUGGAUUAGUAAAUAAAUAAAUUAAAUUUAAAUACAAUUUUAACCUUAUUAAACUAGGCGACUUGAGUGUUGGAUUUGAUUAAACUUAUUUAUACACCUACUUGUACUUCCAUUUUUGGUAAAAUUCAUACUCUCUACUUUAACGGGAAGAUUAUCCGAUUUGGCAUUAUAGCCUUCCAAAAUGCAACCUUUAAAACGUACUCCCUCCCUUUUUUUAUAACUGACGUUUAAGGUUUUGCACACCAAUUAAGAAAAGUUUUUCAUUGUUUAAAUCUAUACACUACUUUCCUUCUGUACCCUCAUUAAUUGUCCAAUUCACCCAUGUUUUCUCUCACUAGAGUAUUAAAUGAUGCUGUUUUACUAGGCCAAAAGCAAUGCAAACUAACUCCCACCAAUUAUGAAAAGAGAGAUAAAAGGGUAAAAUUGUGAAAAAAUAAUUAAUGCUGCAUGGAGAUAAUAAAACGACAGAUAAAAGUACUUAAGAGCAAAUUUCUUAAAUGUCAAUUAUAAAAAAAAGGGAGGGAGUAUUUUUGUGCUUGAUCUCCUAAUGGAGCUCACACUUUGACAAUGGUGCAUGAGAAAUGGGACCUUUAUCAAAUCUCAAGAGCCCUCAAAUGAAGAUAUGCACACGCAGGGGCUGUCAACAAAUGCUUAACAAGAAUGUCUAGUGCUCUAGUUGUCACUCAAUUGGGCCUGACAACGUUGUACCACUAGCCUUGACACCAACGUGGUAUGUGCAUCAAUGGUAAUCGGCCAUCACUUCUUGUACAUUUAUUAUUUUUUUCUUUUCCUCCAGUCCACAGAACACCGACCUCGGCCGGAGUUAACUUUUCCGAAUGGGAGGAGCAUUCUGCGAGCCAUUAAGGUUUUUUUAUAACCUAGCAAGUGUGGCGCAUUUACCAGAAGGAACUGAACACUACUCCAAUUCAUAAUUGACCAAACUCCUCAACGAAUGUAUAUAUAGCAUAUAGCAACGUGAACACCACAGAAUUCGAAUACAUCCCUGCCUCUUUAUCGUCAUCAUCAGAGGUGCCAGAGCAGCAAGUGCUCGGAAUAAUAACAAAUAAAGAAUUAAGUGCUCACAAUCCAUAUCAAUGUUAUUUAUUCAAAUUAAGAAGUUCCAAUAUUAUGCUCACACUUCUAAACAAAUGUUUAAUCAAGCCCCUAGAGAACAACUACCUGAUUUCUAGUCAAAAUUCAGUUCCCCUCUCAGAUUUCGGAGGGAAUAACAGGGUUCCAAAUUCCCACACGCUCAACAGAGAGACAAAAGCACCCAUGUGCCUCAUCUGCUGAAUCGCUGUGAGCUCGGCCGUCUAGCUUACUUGUUGCUGGUGGGUUCCGUACAUGGGAUAGGCUCCAUAAGCAGCUGCUGCUGCUGCAUACAUCCCUGGGUCAUGAGGUGGUGGCAUCGCAUACCCAUAGCCAUCGUAAAAGUGACCUCCAUAGUAUGCCCCCGUCCACUGGUUUCCAAAUUCAGCUCUUAACUGCAAAAUAACAAUUCAUCAAUUAUGAAAUAGUUGCAGCCAACAACAAAGCAGAUGAAACAGCAUUCAGACUGCCAACUACUCAAGAUGCAGCCUAACAGAAUAUUUCUCCACCAGUACAAGUUAGUAAUGGCAGGAACCAAAAGGAGAAAAUGAAAGGAGAAAACAAAAAUGAGCAAAUGGCUAAUCGAGGUCAUUUCAUAUACACAAUUGUAGAACUGUUACUAGCCGACCUUUUGCUGCCACUAAAUCACUCCAAUGACGACAUAUUAGAAGCAGAUGACACACUAGAAAAACAGUUAAGCAUGCAUAUCCUGAUUGUCCGGAUUUUUCACAAAUUUUUCAUGAAAAGCGAAGGUGCCCUGUAAUAGAACGAAUUAAUUUUUUCAAUCUCAAUUAUUGAAAGAAACAAUGUGCACAGGAAUGAACUGAUAUAAGAGAAAGUUGCUACCUGCUUAUUUGCUGGAUUACGCCCCCAAGAGAGCCUCACAGUUUGCUUUCCAAUCGUGGUACCAUUCAACUUCUGCAGUGCCUCCUCGGCAUCAUUUCUGUCCAAAAAAUGGCCACAUUCAUUCCAUCGUACCUGAACUACCAGCGGAAAAUCUCUGUAUAAAAUUUGAAAUAUAAUGAAUUAGAUUGGACCAGAAACAUACCGAUUAGCAAAUUGUACAAAUCCACAUCCUUUUCCAACUGGAAUCUUCACCGAAACUAUUUCCCCAUACUGCAAGAACGGUUGCCUCAGAUCCUCAUCACUGACAUUUGGAUCAAGCCCUCCAACGAAUAUCUACAACCAUAAUAUAUUAGCCAAAGGAAGUGGGGGAAAAGAAAAGGAAAAGUAUAAAGGCUGAAAUCAACUGUUGUAUUAGGAGAAUCUCCAUCAGAUUGAGAGCCCUGGCCUGAUGAACUAUUAAUGUAUCCACCUGUCAAAACCAAUCCAAAACAAUUAGAACUUGUUGAGCAAAAAUUUCAGAGCCGAUGCAACUGCAAUAGAUCAAAAAUGUCCAUGGUCAAACUAGAAAACAAAAGGGUUUGAGAUAUCCCAUUACACAAGCAUCUGUCUCAUUUCAAACUAAACCAAUCACCCAAGAACUCGAUGUAGAAUGAUAUCCAAUUGACCAAGCCAUGUAUUAAGGCUUUGAAAUGAGAAGACAGGCAAAAUCACUUGGCAUAAAAUCUUUCAUCCUAGGGCGGCUUCACAACCAAAAAUGACAUCAAAUGUUCUCUUUGAUUCCAAAUUUCAUGGUCAUAUAAAGUCACAUGCUUCUGCAACUUAAGUUGCAGAUUGUCGUGCAUCUAUUUGCAUAAUGGAAUAGGAAAAAGUAACCUUAACAGAAUUCCCUUCUAUAUCUUUGUCUGUAUCUGUAAUUUAACAUAAAGGUAAUCAUUGUAGGCUGAGAUAAACAUAGAAGUUCUUAUCAAUAGUUACUUCAACCUUGGAUCAACAUAAAUGUAAUCCGUAACCCAAAAGCAUUGUAGAAGAGCACAAUAAAUAGAAAACACCUGACAGGAAAAGCUUGAAUAUCUAGUCAACAAACUUGAUCGCAUUGAUACACAGCAUCAAAUCCAAUCAUCAGCAAAAUCAAUGGAAGUUACCUUGUGAAGAAUACUGCUGUUGGUAUCCAGAUGAUUUCCUGGGGGUUGCAGCACCAAUACGCAUGGGCCUGCUUGAACAAUAGAUGCCAUUCAUUUCAGUCAUAGCCUGUGAUCUCUCAUUAUCAUCUCCAAACCUUACAAAACCAUAACCCUUUGAACGUCCAGUAUUUGCAUCAAUGACAACUUUAGCAGCUUUAACAGAAGGAUAUCUACUGGCAAAAGUAUCAUGCAAUAAGCUAUCAGUAACAUCUGCAGCUAAAUCUCCUACAAAGAUAGAAAGAUCAGAACCAUUAUUCGAACGCUUGUCGCCCGUGCUAAAUGUAGCCCAAUUCAGACGAAAAGGUUGUUCUGUGUUAGGCAUGAUAAUGCAUGGAUAUGCUUGCAGGACUUUCUCAGCUGCAGCAUGCGAAAAGAACUCCACAAAUCCAUAUCCCUCAGAGAAACCGGUUUGCUUAUUGCGAAUGACCUUUAUAGAGGCAACCUGCAAGAAGAUUACAUAAAUUGGGGGAAGAUGUACAACAAUUAUACAUGUAAGCACAUGAACAAGUUACUAAUGAUGAAACAUCAAGAAUAUAUUUUGCACACCCUAAAGCCAUAUUUUAGUUGUAGAAUUGGAAACAUGUUUGAAGAUGAUAACAAACUAUGCGAAGCAAAAUCACAAAUUUAAGGUUCCUGACACGAUUGCGUCUUAAACUCUCCAGGAGCAACGUCACACAAAUAUGCUGGAUUCUAACAAAAUUUGGACAAGACAAGUGCUUUGGAAAGAGAUAUUCUAUCACAUUUUCGCUCACAUGCUUCAUGCAUGGUGAUUGCUAUAUUCAUUUAAAUUACUGAAUGCUUAAUUAUCACCAUUCUUAAUUUGUCUUUCUGAAUAAGUAAAUCUUGUAAAAUUUGCCAGUUUUAGAGGUGCCUGAGCCUCUACUUCCACAGCACUUUGUUCAAACACACUGAACCAUCUAGCUGGAACAAUUAAAGCAAUUAAUGAAAAGUAAUUCAUUACUAAAAAAUGUGAUAUGAAAUAUUUUAUCUCAGUAUAUAGAUGUACAAAACUAAAAUUGCUACCUAAAAGUGUAUACUUAAAAAAAAUGCCAGCUUGGCACGGAAAAAGGGAGCUCUGGUAAAGAUUUGAUUUGGUCAAUUGAAUGAGCUGUCCUUGUUUGUAGAAAAAUCCCAGCUUUGAACCAAGAAAGAAACCUAGAGUUAAAAAUUCAUCUAGUCAUUCAAUCUGACAAACUUAGAAACUACAUUACAUAUUACCUCAAAAAUUUUAGUUUCUCUAAGAAAUAAUACCAAACAUGGGCACUAAUAUCCAGCUGUGCGCAUCAAAUCAUCAGCAUUCAAUUCUCCUUUCUCAUAAGAACUAAGCUGUUUCUCGCGACAAACUACAUCACCAUGGAUUCAUACUCUCUUUCAAAAUAAGAUUUAGUGUAAACAACAAAUAACGAAGACGAAAAUCAUUCUUUAAAUUCAUCGACAAAAAAAUCUACCAACCGACAUUGUAGGCAUAGCGCGCGUGAAAUCUUAAGCCAUGUUUACCAAACAGACGUUGAAAACAAUUAAAGCCCAGGAAAGGCAUGUGAAUAUUGAACAAGGUAAUGUUCAGAUUAGACCUCGCCAGUGGAAGCAAAGCAGCUGCGAAGGUAGUCCUCGUCCAUCCAAUUAUGGAGAUCACCGACCCAGAUCGUUCUAUUCUCACCAUUAGAUCCUCCACCUCCUCCUCCUUGCUGCUGCUGUUGCUGCUGAGGAGGCCCUUGAGGCUGCGGAGGAGGAGGAUGGUGGAGGUGGUGGUGAUGGUACGGCAUGUAGUGAGGCGGGUAAUGUGGGGCUGGCAUCAUAUGAUGCGGCAUUACCAUCGCGGCCGCUGGAUACUGCAUCGCCACCCACUGCUGCUGGGGUGCAGCCGCCACCGCUGGUGUCACCGCCGCAGGAGUAGCAGCCACCCCCUGCUGCGGCGGCUGGCUAUUGCUGUUAUUAUUAUUGUUGAUGUUACUAUUAUUAGUAUUUUGUGAUUCCGAACCGCUGUUGGCUUGCAUCUUCUUCUACAGUGGAAGAAAAGGAACACAAACACACGCACUAAAAAACACACUUUCUUCCUCCUCUAUUCAAACCCUAAUACUGUAUUACUACCCCGAAAAAAAAAAAGAAUAGUGUGUAUGAAAAUAGAUGCUUUUUAAUUUAUUUCAGAUUGACGGAGAGAUAAGCUUCGAAUACGUACAGGAUGAAUCUGGGCUCUGAGAGAAAAAAACAACAGGAGGGUGGAGGCUAAAGAGAAGAUUUUAAGUGAGGACGGCGGAUCCGUGGGAGAAGCCCUGGAGCAACGCGUAUGGUACGAUAGCCGUUGGAUGAAACGGUGGUUUUUAAUUAGAUCCGUUGGAUUAUUGGAUGAUGUGUAUACUUGAUAGGGUAGGGGGUACCCAAAAAAAGAGAGAGAAAGAAAGAACCCGGAUGGGAUAGAUAUGUAGGAGUAGUUAAAAAGUGGGGGUAUGCUGCUGUUUUUGGGCUUGGUCGGCGCUCGGCCGCCAGAUUUGGGAGAAGUUAGAGAGAGAAAGGGAAUGAGAGAUUUUCUCAGGGCUUUUUGGUUAGUGUGGAUGAUUAUUGUUGGUUAUUAUUUGUUUUUUGUUGGGGCAGGAAUAGGUUACCCUUUUAGGUCUGGGUUUGGGCUUUCGGAUUUUGGAAAAUGGGGAAUGCUGAUGUAUGAUAGAUAACUGAGCUGAUACGGCCUGCGCUACCGUAUUCGUAGUACUGCUUAAUUCCACUACUAUAAAGGGAAGUGACUUAUUAUUGUGUCUUUACCUUGGUUUUUGGUGUUGCUAAUGAUAACAUGGCCACCUUUUAGUCCAACCAAAACAAAAAAAAAAUGUCUAUCUAAGACUUUUUUUUUUUUUUUUUUUCAAUUGUCAUUCCUAUUUCUACUCCUACUCUAAUUGGAGGAGACUCAACUGAGCCUACGGAAAACCGAUGUAGAUAGAACCACCAUCCGACCAGACGGGUGCACUACGCACCCGUCUGGAUUUAAAGCAGAACCACAAGAGUGGCAUUCUAGUGAGCCUUAAGGACUCGGUGGUGGCCACCAGCCCAAGAGCUGGUGGUUUGUCUAUCGAAGACUCGUUAAGGUAUAUUUGUGUCCAUUAUUCAUUAGACACCUAUUAAAAAAAUUCAAAAUAUUUAUUUUUGUCCUUUCUACAUUAUCAUACAAGUGAAAAUGUUCUGCCUGCCAUGCACUUCGUAGUUCAUACAAGGAAACAAUACCUAGAUUAAUCCAAUGUAAGACUUGUAAAAUGAUGCAAUAAUUAGUACCUAAUGACCAAUCAAGUUAUUUUUAAGCAAUAAAAGAUAUUUUCUUGGAGAGGGUACUGCAAGGAAAUGGCAUCUUACAGUAGGUAAAGAAAUUUAUAAUUGUAUUUUAGUUUUUCAAUAUGUUUUAGCGCUAGAUUAUAUGUUCAGUCGUGAUGGAAAUGGGAUAAUGAAACUUAUAAAACCAUGGUAACUAUGUCAUGUAUAGAAGUCAGGUCCGAGGAUCACUAGAGUGGCAUACAAAUUAAACUUUAAACUUUAAGAAUGUGCCUACACACUCUAUUAUUGUGAAUCGAAUAAAAUUAGAUCAUGAUUAUAAAAUAUUUUUGUCAAUAGUUAAAACAUGUUAGUACUAUUUUUGGGCAUGUAUUGGUUAUACGUUUAUAAAGAUUAAAAAGAAAAUGCUAUAUUAUGUAAAUAAUGACUGGGGUUCCAUAUGAAUUAAGUAUUUUUAGAGGUAUUUUUCAAAUACUAUAUUGUAGUAUUGUAUAUCAAAAACUUGACACUACUAUAUAUUUUAGGGGAUUUUUAAAAUUUUAAAAUUUUAUUGGAAUUAUUUUAAAAUUUUGUUAAAAAAAUCUUACCACAACCAUCCAUCAAACCUCUUCUCCUCCCUCUAUCACUGCUAUCACCCCUUCCCAUCCUCUCUUUUCCACCGCCAUCAUCCCUUCCCACCUCUCUUUUCUCUCUUCCUAUUUAUCUUCCCCCUCAUUUUCCUUCUCUUUCUUUUCCCCACAACCCUUCCCUUGCCUCCACAAUCUUCUAGUAGCCUACGACCAACUAGAUCAUAGGGAAUUGGGAAAAGAGGAAGAAGGAGAGAGGAAGGGAGAUAAGGGAUAGAGGGGAGAGAAGGAGGGGGUGGUAAUGGAGGGAGAAGGAGAGGAGGUGGUGGGUGAUGAUGGUAAGAAUUAUUUUAUUUUUUUAAUUCUUUAAAUUUUUAUUAGGUGUAUUUCGAGUUUGGUAUGCAUGACUUUUUCUACUUACAUACAUACCUAAAUACAAAUAUUUUAGGUUUAACUUAAUAUGACUUUUUUUUAAAACUUCAAAAACAAAAACAACCAAAUCCAGGCAGACCCUACAUGUAUUAAGUUACAAUUUGAUGAGUGUAGUUUGUUAUGCAUGACUUCUUCUACUUACAUACAUAUCUUUUAGGUUUAAUUUAAUAUAAUUUUUUUUAAAAAAUCACAUUUAACACAAUUUUUGAAUUUAACUAAAGUUGAUUUAUUGAAAUCACAUUUAAGAGAAAAUCUAAAUUUUAAUUGGAUGUAAUUUUUUGAAAGUAAAAUUUACAACAAAAUCUUGAUUUAAUUGAAUGUGAUUUCUUGAAGGUCACAUUCAUAACAAAUUCAUAAUUUUAACUAAACUUAAUAAUUUGAAAGUCAUAUUCAGUAAAAUUUUUUAGACUUAACUUAAUUUGAUCUCUUAAAGUUAUAUUCAGUGCAAAAUUUUGAAUUUAAUUUGAGUUGUUCAAAGUCACCUUUACAACAAAAUCUUUAUUUUAACUGAAUGAAAUUUCUUGAACAUUCAGUACAAAUUCAUGAAUUUUACUUAAUUUGAUACUUUAAAAAUUACAUCAAGUAAAGCCUUUUAGGUUCACUUUAAUUUGAUUUUUUAAGGUUGCUUUGAUGUUAUUAAUUAUUUUGUUUCGUCCUAUCUUUUUUUUAUCAAAGUUUUGUUCAUAAAGGUUAAUAUACAUAUUUACUGAAAAAGCCAGCCUUGGUCUAAUGACUGAGGUUAAGGCUGGAGAAUGUAGAAAACCUAGGUUUUAAUCCCCCCACUAUCCCAUCCUUCCCACUUCUUAUCGUAGAGCUGUGGCCCGGUUGGCUUGGGUGGGACGGGACGGUGUCUGUAUAUGAUUUGCUUUAGUCCAAGUUAAAUAAAUUAUAUCUAAGGGCAAACGUGUUUAAAAUGAAACCUGUGAAGCCCCAUGCACCAAAAUUUUACAAGAAGGAUGUGAAGUUUGGCAUUGUUUCAGAGAAUGAAACGACAGCGAUAUUGAAGAAGAAAUAUUUAUCAUCAAUUCAUGCAUGUAAAAUUAUUCUAUUUCUACGGAGUUGGAUUUGCCAAGUUGACUUGUUGCUUGAGAUUUGUCAAAUUAUCACAAGGGUUAUAAUUGCAGAUCAACCAAAUGACAAAUAACCGACCAUGCAAAGCAACUGCUCAUUAUUUGAUAGAUUUGAAUUGUAUCAAACAAUGGGUAGACAUAGAACUGAUCAAAAUAAGAAACUCUUUAAUACAUCAGAAUCAGCUUAAUGGGUUACCAAACAUGCAGUGUUAAUUUGCUCAUCAACACAUUGUGACAUGAUAUUAAUAUCAAGUUUUUCUGUUUUCAAAAGUCUAAGUGAAGACUGCUUGUUAUCAUCCCAUUUGAAAUACCCAAAAAGAAAAAUAGAUAAAUUAUCAAAACUAUGGCCGUCAGAUAGGUGUUGCUUUUUUUGUAGAUAUACAAGCAACCACGAAAAUAUGAUACCAAAAAAGAUUGUUGUAAAAUUCAAGGAUUUUUAGCAAACUAAGUAGGGCUAUGCAGCGUUUGUGUUCACAACUAAAAACAGCUUUUGUAUAAGGGAAAGUCCGAUUAGGUUUUUCACUGUUACUUGCUUGAAGGAAAAGGGAAGAACAAAAAUUUUAAAGCAGCCCUUUUUUUAUGUGAUUAGACCACAAGAAAGGAGAAGGAAGGACAAAAGAAAUGCAGUACAAGCAGAACGGUCUUUUGUGCAAAUGUGAAAAAAGUGCUAAAAGGGUUGUCUCGAUUCAUAAGACUACUCGUCUCUAGUUAAUAACAAUGUGAAAGAAUCACAAAAUGCCGUCAAAAUUAUAAGUCCACAUCAUAACUUUAGGCUUAAAGUGGAGUAUGUGGGUAGAGUUGAAGGUUCCUUCAACAUGAUUUUUACCUCAUUUUAGCAAAACCUUGGCUACCGGCCUACAAUUCGCUUCCGGAACGAGCGGAUCCCUUAGUCUGCCUUUUCUUCGCCGGGAGCCCGCUCCACCGUUCACGAUUUAUGGAGUAUGGUACGUCUCCACUCUCCAACAAGCCAUGUCUUUGAGCACUUUGAAUGGUAAUGCGAUGUAAUCCAGCUUAGCCUCCAUUUGACCCAAACCCCCCCCCCCUCCCCCUAAAAAAAAGUAAUGCUUUGCUAAAAGAAAAAAUCGAUUUUGCAAAAUCAAUUUUUUCGUCCUUCACUUUUAAAAUGUUAAUUUUACGUCGCUUACGAAUUAAGUUAGCAAAACUUGAUUUCAAUCUAAGUUUUUUUUUUAUCACUUUUUACUCUGAGGUCAUUACAUGACCUACAUGCAGUCGUAUUUUAUGCACAAAAUGUCAGCUUCCACUUUUUCUAUCGUAAAAAUAGAUAUGAAUUUAGUUUGAUCCCACUUUUUUAAUAGAAAAAUGAAUAUGGUAGGGGUCAGAUCCUACUUUUUUAGAUAUAAAAAUAAAAUAUGGAUUGAAUCAUUUGUUUAACUAGGAAUAUAAUCCAAUCUUUUUAGCUCUAAAAAAUAAUCACGUGCAGGUCAUGUGAUGGAUUUAGAGUAAAAAAGUGAUUGAAAAUUUAGAUCAGAACUUAAUUUUGUCAAUUUGAUUUUACAUGGGAUCUAAUGUUACUAUUUUAAAAGUGAAGGAAGAAAAAUUCGUUUAGGAAAAUGUGAUAGGCGUUUUGAACGAUUUUUCCUUGCUAAAACUGCAGAUGACAACAGAGCCCAUGGCUCAUUAAUUUUGGUUUAAUUAAGAGAGAGAGGGAGAGAGAGAUUUUGCUGGAAUUAGUCGAGGUUACUAUAGAAUACUAGUUACCAACAACAGGAGCGAAAAAUUCCAGCAGAGGGUAUCGGAGAGUUUCUUAGGUCUGGAUUUUAUGAACAAUAAUUAUCAUUUGGACCUUAAUAAGAAAACAUGAACAUGACUUUUAGCUUUUAAGAAUUAUGUACCAUACCAUCCAUCAUUAAUUAAUUUUUUGCACUAGGUUGGUCCAAUCCGCUAGCAACUACUCUCCUGUGUCAGUAGCCUGAACUGACAUGCACCGAGAUUAAGUCAACUAAUAAGGCAGAUGAGUUGAGCCAAAAUUUAUUAAUUUGAUGUUUAGUGAAAAAGACACCUGCUGCUAGACUGUAGAAGCAAGUAAUAAGGCGCUUCAAAAGGUUAUAUAACUAAUGUUAGUAGUUCAAGUGUUCGAGUAGUCAACAAAAGGUAGAAAAGUACGUACAACUAUUGGUCUCCUUAAAAUUAAAAAAUAAACAGAAAGAGUAAACAACAAUAUAAUGAGCCUACCAGCACAUAUUGGUAUAAUAAGAGUUUCUCCAAUUUAGAAAGAAGGGGAAAAAAAAAAAAAGAAGCAGCACUUGUUCUAAUGCAGAGUAAGCAGGUCUAUAUAUAUAUAUAUAUAAAAGCAAGAGGUAACAUUGAAAACCAACGGAAAAUGUUUAUUAUUAUGUAGGACGACGCUGCGUACAUAGCAUCUGCAUCUGCAUCUUAGAUGAGCGGUACAAUAAUUAAUUAAGAUUAUAACGUCUUGAGAAAUUUUGACAGCAACUGCACAUUGAUCCACAUGGAUCGCCAUUCCACUACCUUUAAUUUCAUGGCAUAAUACUACUACUAUAGCAGGAUAGUUCUGUGGCAGCUGGUAAAACACAGCAUGCAGAUGUAGUAGCCUUCACGCAAUUAUACACUCCUCUCCUCUCUGUGUGUGUGCGUGUGUUUCCAUGCACAUGUAGGUCUGCUGCGUUAGGUACUACGCGAUCCAUGUCCAGCCGCCAGCCAUAUAUAUAUAGAUGGGUGGAUUUAAACUUUGUGACCGACACCGGGACUGCGGCCUGGUGUGGUGGAGCGGACAUCAUCUCCUCCAUCUGCUUCAUCCAAAGCUUCAUUGGCUACGGUGGGACUAGUCACGUGAUUAUCUCGUUGGGGAAAGGAAACCUGGCUUUGCAAGAUGCGGGCGUGCCCGCUGCUAAAGUCUUUUUCAUGCAAGCUCCUUUUUCCGUCGGCAGUAUUCUUCUCUGGUUUCAACAAUGGUCUCGCCUCGCUAGAGACGAUUUCGUAAGACAAAAUUAGUGCAAGAAGAAAAGCACUACUGAGCAGGACCCUGGCCUUAGUCGUCAUUGGCGAUUGAAUGAAUCGCUACAACUAAUUAAUACAAGAAGAAUAAUUAAGGAUGGUGUAAUGUAUAUGAAUAGAAGAAAGGGAUUGUUUGUGGAGUAAAUGAGUGUUUUGAUCAAAUGUAGUGAGGAGCGAGGUCUCACUUGCUAUUUAUAGACGAAAGAUUGGGAAAGGAUGGACCCCGGGAGCAUACCAUACCAACUUGGAAGCGUUACUUGCACGACUAAGGACCUUACAAAUAAAUUCUGUGGAUGUCAGUAUCAUAUUUACUUGCACAAAAUCUCCUCUCCCCCAUCCCAUCCGCCUCCUUUUGUAAGUUUCCUUUGAUCUUAUCACUCAAUCUAACCCUUCUUCUUCUUUAACACGUACGUUUACAAAUUUCGGAUGUAAAUUCACAUGGCUGAAAUCUAACGGCGCAUCUUUCUUUGCAACUAAACGGCCGAAUCCGAACCAUAUAUUCGUGGCUAGAAUAUGCAUUAAUUUAUAUGUUCAGGACCCCAAUAUAUUUGUUCCCAACUCGAGGGAGGGAAGCCACUCGAUCUACCCCAGUUGAGUUGGCCAAAUCAGUUUUCGUAAGUAGUACACACACGGUACAGUAGUGUCAAGUGUGAGAAUAAAGCCACACGGCUCUGCGUGAGUGACAUUUCUGGUUCAAGCCCAUUAUCAUGACUUGAGCAACUUGGCUUCCUUGAUUAAUGUCUACGCUCAAUAGUUGCUGGGGUAACAGUCUGCAGCUUCUCUCUGAGAUUUUCAUGUGCGAGUAUAGUAGGAUUGAUCUUUUUUCCGGGAUGGGAUCCGUCAAAAAUAUUGUGGGCGCUAAAGUACCUAAUGGUGACCGCACAAUAUAAAAGAAAAACAGACCUGCAGCGCAUGCAAGUAUUUAGAAGCCGGCCUUCCGAUUACUGAUUGAGGUCUGUAAUCAGAACACAAAAAUUGGAAGUGACAACAAAUGAAAAAUUGGGUAUUAGUUACACAUGUAUAGGCGUAUCAGAAUUUUAAGUUUGAGUUGCUUACCUUGAAAUUCACAUCAGAGUUCUCAACCAAAAGGCAAAAAAAUUUAUAUUUCCUGAAGGACAAACUGAAACGCAAUCCAUGAAGUUGUCAAUCCAACUGUACUUUUCUGUAUAUUACCAUGUUCUCUGCUGCACGAAUUCUCCGAUCUCAAUUCUCAAACUCUACCACUAGUUACUGUCAGCUCAGUGGCGGAUUUCACGUUGGGGGACUGGGAGUACGGGCUCCGCUGCCCCUUAGAUUUCUAUAGUAUUAAUAGAAUUUUGAUAUAAUUUCAGAUGUACGUCCCAAGUUUUUUUAUGAAGGAAGUGAAAGAAUUACGCGACCCUCUAAAUUGGUUUAUGAACUAAUAUUUUAAAAGGAUAUAUGAAUUACAAAGUUUAAUUUGAAGUAAACUAAAAAAAAAUUUUUCAUUUCAAUUUGUUGGUGAAUAUUUUUUUGCUUAAAAAACUAGAAAAAGCGUUGGUAAAAAAUUUUAGUAUUACUUUUGCUCCCAUUCAGAAUUUUUUCUGGCUCCGCCACUGUGUCAGCUAAUAAUGCUACUUUUAACUGAUGUUACAAUGGGUACUUAUUCUUGAUGGGAGAAAAGCUCAUAUACACAAAGCUUUGCGGUCCAUCAAAUCCUAAAUGCCUUUUUCUAGAAAGGAUAGUGAAAGUUUCCCAGUUGUUCUUGCUCCGCUUGUCUAGCCAUAACAAGGAAUUUGUCUUGAUGUUCUUCACAUAUAGUUAAUGUGCGCCAAUGUAGCCUGUAGAUCAAAUGCACAGUGCAAGUUCAUAGUUUUUGCAAGGAGGAUAUACUAAUGUUCGCCUCUCGGGUGCAGCUCAACUGAUCGUGUCGUCUAUUUUUAUAACAUUGAUUACGGUUCGACUUUCCUCGAAUUAAUGCGCUAGGCAUUUUAAGGGGCAGCUCCGCCGCAGAGAAUUAGUUUAGGUGAUUCCACGAUACUCCUGUGGUGACAAAAUUAUAUAUAUAUGUAUAUAAUAAUGUUCCCUAAUGCGAUCAUUCACUUGAAGAAAAAUGGUCGAUCCACGUCCAUAGUUUUCUGGUGCAUAAUUGUGGACAAGUCAAACAAGCAAUUUAUGUACUCAAAACAUUCGCAGUAUCUAUAUCGUUUCAACUAGAUUCGCAUCAUAAAGAUUCCUUUGCCUGGUUGGUUCCCAUAAUCGAGGAAAUUUGACAAAAUGUAUUUUAACUGUUCAGCCAAAAAGGGGUGGACCGUAAUUGAAUCAAAAAACUGUUGAGACCAGACCAAAUUUGAGUUCUGCAAUCAUGCGUUGGUUGAAUGUCUAAUGCACUUUCUGAGGGCCGCCACUACCGACUGCUGAUUUUUCUUGGGAAGAAAACCAUCCAUUGCUAUACCAUGGGUGUUUACCUUGAAUGUUAACAUUCUUCACUCAGAACACCAGCACUAUUCAUAGGUGCUUGGAGGAAGUUAUCAUAGGUUUUGUUUUCAAAAAUUACUUGAACAAACUUGAGAAAAGAAGCCCGCACAAUGCACGGCUAUUUGGUGCCUGUAUUAAAAUACUGUGGUUUGUCUUUUAGUGAUUUGUGAGAUAAAUAGUAAUUUGUAAGUAUUGUUAUCUUUAUAAAAGCAUGAAACUCUAGAGAUUGCAAGUGCAAUUUCUUUUUCUUUUUUUUUUUUUUUGUGUCGAAUCACCUGUGAAUUGUCUAAAUCCUUGUUCACAACUUUUUUACAAAAAAAAAAAAAGAAAAAAAGAAAAAGCAAAUCACUUAAAUACAUACCUCAUCAAACUUUUUCCUUCUGAUAUAUAAUUAACUUCCAAAAUUAUGCAGUAGCUAAUUACACGAAAAAGCUAUAUAGUCAAAAUAAAAAGAAAAACAUGGGCAGAAACAUUUGCAUGGAAGUUGGAAAAAUAUUUCUCAAUGCAAAAAGAGUAAAGCUUUGCCAAAAAGAGUAAACCUAUUGGUGGUCAACGGUGCAAAAAAAAAGAAUGAUGAAAAGCACACUUGCCCGGAGAGUAGAAGGAAGAGAUACAGGAGAGUAAAAUCAAGGAAGAGAUAGCUAUAACAUCGAGGAGAAAAUCCGGUUCUCAGGAACUUAGGAAUUCAUUGGGCUGCCAAGUUACUUACCAAGUUUAAAAGAAUGCAUCUCAGGGGCCUGAGAUUCAGUAAAAAGGGUAUGAACAUUGCCUUAAAACCAGUUUUUGUAGUUGCAAGUUGUAACAAGCAGCAAAAUAAUUACUUCCCUAGCAGGCUACUAAUCUACAUUAUAAUUAUUCAUAACUUUGAAUGAUUUGUAACCAUAUUUAUGGGUAAAAAUGUCGAUGACAAACAACUUAAUAUAGACCCUUAAAGUCAUUUCACAAAUAACCCAGCAUUGUCUGCUUGUAUGUACGUUCUACUAAAUCAAUUGGUCUGCCAAAACUCAAAUUGAUCCUCCAGGAGCAGAUGAAAUUUUGAGAAUUGUACCCUCAACUACUGCUUCUUAUCUAUGUAUAGGAAAUUUUAAAAUAAUACUUUAAUCAAUUUUAUCAUGAUGUGAUGCAUACGGAAUAAAAACGAAGGUGAGAAGGUAAGAAAUUAAUUGAAAAACUUGUUUAUAAUGCAUACUAAAAAAUUUUGAUUUGCAUAUCGAAAGACUUAGGACCAAUCUCAUUUUUGCACCAGAAAAAAAGUGUGGAACUCCAAUAUCAGGAGAACUCAUCGUAUUAACGUGUGAAACAUGGAAGAAAAGUCCCGUAACACCCAAGGGAAGAAGAGUCUUGUGGCACUCAAGAGCCGUCUCGGAAAGCUAUGAAUAGUUGUUGUUUCAAUGAAUUUGUUCACUGAUAAGGUCACGAUUCGACUUUUUGAUUGUUAUGGACCGGUACCAAGCUAUGUUUUCAGAACCGGACCGGAUAGCGACUCGGCCGAGGUCAGGGGUCAGGGGUCAAUGGGUUCGACCGGGGGUCGAUAGGGGUCGAACCGGAUGACGUCAUAAAUAAAAAUUAUUUUAAAAUUAAAAUGUUAUAUAUAUAAUAUCUAAUAAUAUAUUGAUAUUAAUAAAGGCAUAUUCAUAUAUAUUUGAUGUUUCAAAUAUAUUUAACAAGAAAAUACAAAGAAAUUAGAACAAUCAAGUAGCAAUUUAUAUUAUUUAAUAAAUAUUAACAAGUUUAGAAUUAAAAUUAUGAAUUUAAUUGAAAAAUAACAUCAAAUUUUAGGACAAUAUUUAUAAAGUAUCAAAUAUUUGAGGUAUAUCAAUAAGUUUUAACAAUUUAGGGGGUCAAAACAUAAUAUUAAAAAGUUUGAAUUUUUUUUUUUAAAAAAAUACUGUUGAACCGGAAAAACCGGUUUUUUCCCGGUCAAACCCGGUCAAACCCGGUUUUUGACCGGCUUUGACCGGGUUUUAAAUUUCCGGUUUUCUAAUGUGACUCGGACCGGCUACCUGGCCGGUUCCCGGUUCAACCGGUUCGACCGGCCGGUCCGGUCCGAGUUUGAAAACAGAGGUACCAAGAUCAAGGCCUAGACAGGCAGAACUAAUUUUAACAACAGGAACGGUAACAAUGAAAUGGUCCAUUCUUUAGUGAGAUUUAGAGGCGGCAAUUUGUCCCAACUCCCAAUGAACUGCCCAUGUCCAAAGGGACUUUGGGCGGAAUGGGUAUUGUAAUUUGAUAUUGAAUUUAAAAUGGGAUAUAUCUCAAUUGUACCCAUUAAUUGAUAGGAAAUAUUGAGAAAUACUUGGGUACCCACUGAACCCAAAUAUCUUCCCAAAAAAUUUCAUUUCUAACCUGAUCCACUCCUCUCCCUGAGAAGCUUCAGGAGCAAUUGCCGGUGAGUAGUGCAUAUGAGGCUCGUCCUGAACAAUUUGUGUAGCAGAUGAAUGCUUAUGUUCCAUAUGCGAAUGCAUGAUAUAGUCUAAUAUAAAGGUUCACAUCUUCAACCAAAGCUAAAGAAUGGCCUAAAUGGGUUCCAAUAACCAAAAACUUUGGUUUGGUUGAUUAUUUGAAAUAAUUUUUUGAAAAAAAAAAUAUUGUAGAGUGUAAAUCAUUCUAGAGCGUAAAAUAAAUUCAUGAAAAUAUAUAUUCACAAUAAGACUAAAAGAAAUUUAAUAAAUAAAAAAUAUUAAAGUUAUUUAAAAAAUAAAAAAUGAAUUAAAAGAAAAAAAAUAUGUAGAAAAUAGAUUUGGGUAUUGGGCGGGAUCAAUCUAAACCCAUCCCAAAGUGAUCCCGCCCAAGUUAGUCCCAAAACACGUAUGGGUAAGAUUGGGUCCAAACCCAUGUGAUUUAGUUUCAUCUCAAACCCAAACAAAUCCCGCCCAUUUUACUAUCUCUAGUGAGAUUAUAUGAACAAAUGCCUGAAUCAAAAUAUGUUAUUGCUAUGGGAGCAUGGACAAUUACAGGAGGGGUGUUCAGUACCGAUUCUUGCAGUACUAUUCGAGGGAUUGAUAAGCUAAUUCCUAUAGAUGUCUAUUCGAGGGAUUAAAUUUUUCCUCUGCCUCCUCCUAAUUCUGGUCAUUAUAAUACAUAGUACUGUACCAUUGGUGCGAUUUUUGUACCUUUUUUUUUUUUUUUUUCCUUUGUGCCUAGAAAAGAAAACUCCAUUUGACUCAAUCAACUUUCAUGUGCAACAAUCAUUUUGUGGAAUGACUUCUCAAAUUUACCUCUCUAUUUUGAAAUUGUAGUUGUCACUAACAGAGAAAAUAAGAAAAUAACUUUCUUACGUGAUCAUUAUCAAAAGCUAAGCUAAGAUCCUGUGUUUUAAAAUCGGUUGAAAACGUGCCCUAAUUUUCCUUGAUGAUGGGGUCAAAAGCAACCGCCGGAUAUCGGAAUUUCUAUUAUAUUUCUCAAAUGAAAAUCUCGGUCAUAAAACGAAGUUGGAGGCAAGCUUUGGAGGUCAAAAUGUAAACAGCUGUUUUACGAGCUGGACCCCCAAAACAGCCCCCCAACUGCAUGACACGUGUUGCCCGUCGUGCGGUAGUUGCCGGUGUUGCGUGCACCGACCACGAUGCCUCGAUCCGACGGUCUCAAACUAGGACCCCACACGCUUCCCAAAUAGUACUAUAUGCUGCUAUUACUAUAUACUAUAUAUAUAUAUAGAAACAAAAGAAAUUUUUUAAUUCCACAAGCGCGAAAAAGGCCAAGAUCGACACAACACUGCUAGUUGUGAAUUGCAAGCAAUCAUUUAUUCAUUUGCGCAACCUCUGUCCAAUCACUUCCUUUUUAUUUUGUACAAACAUGUACUUGUAAAACCAAGAAAAAA
Molecule: long non-coding RNA, 88291 nt
Filed under: Coffea arabica (coffee)
Lineage: Eukaryota; Viridiplantae; Streptophyta; Magnoliopsida; Gentianales; Rubiaceae
Description: long non-coding RNA (CARA_LNC006704)
Source: RNAcentral